UGCAGCCUCACCCAGACAUAAGAAGCUUGACAAUUGAGGGUUAUGGAGGUGAAAAUUUCUCAUCAUGGAUAUUGCAACUCAAUAAUCUGACGGUGCUGAGAUUGAAAGGCUGCAGCAAGUUGAGGCAACUCCCAACACUUGGAUGUCUUCCACGCCUUAAGAUUCUAAAGAUGAGUGUAAUGCCUAAUGUGAAAUGUAUAGGCAAUGAGUUCUAUAGCAGCAGAGACAGCGCAGGUGUACUGUUUCCAGCACUACAAAUACUCACUCUAUCCAGGAUGGAUGGUCUUGAAGAAUGGAUGGUACCAGGUGGAGAAGUUGUUGCAGUAUUUCCUUGUCUUGAAGAGUUGAGCAUUAAGGAUUGUGGAAAGUUGAAAAGCAUUCCGAUAUGUGAUGAGCUGAGAUAUUUGUCUGGUGAAUUUCAUGGCUUCACGUCUCUUCGAGUUUUAAGUAUAUGGAGCUGUCCAAAGCUGGCAUCCAUUCCAAGCGUACAACACUGCACAGCUCUGGUGUAAUUGGGUAUUAUUUGGUGCGGUGAGUUGAUCUCAAUUCCUGGUGAUUUCCGAGAUUUGAAUUCUUUGAAGAAAUUGAGGGUUAAUGGGUGUAAAUUGGGAGCUCUUCCAAGCGGACUACAAUGUUGCGCAUCUCUAGAGGUAUUAAAGAUAAAUGAUUGGAGUGAGCUUAUCCAUAGCAAUGAUUUUCAAGAAUUGUCUUCGCUUCGAAGUUUAUCGAUUAGCGGUUGUGAUAAGCUCAUCAGUAUUGAUUGGCAUGGUUUACGACAAUUGCCUUCUCUUGUUGAAUUAGAAAUCACCGCGUGUCCCAGUUUGAGUGAUAUCCCAGAGGAUGAUUGGUUGGGCCUCACCCAACUGCAGUAUUUGAGAAUCGGUGGUUUCUCAGAGGAGAUGGAGGCUUUUCCUGUAGGAGUUUUAAACUCAUUCCAACACCUCAACUUGAGUGGGUCCCUCAAAUCCCUAUACAUACAUGGAUGGGAUAAACUGAAGAGUGUACCACACCAACUUCAACACCUCACUGCCCUCGAGAUAUUGGGGAUAAUGGAUUUCGAUGGAGAGGAGUUAGAGGAAGCAUUGCCAGAAUGGAUGGCCAACCUUUCUUCUCUUCAAUCUCUUUGGAUUGGGGGUUGCAAGAAUCUCAAGUAUAUGCCAAGUUCAACAGCCAUUCAACGCCUCUCCAAAUUAAAGGAAUUGAUUAUCUUCGGGGGAUGUCCACAUCUUAGAGAAAAUUGUAGAAAGGAGAAUGGCUCUGAGUGGCCCAAGAUUUCUCAUAUCCCAACAAUCCAUAUGUAGGGUACACGUGUAUAGGGAAGUUGGUGUUUUAAUUAUUCCGUUACUUUGUAAUAUGCUGAGGAGAGAGAACCAAUUAAAGUAUUCAAAUUAAUGAAAGCAAUAAUUAGACUUUAUUCUUUUAAGAAUGGUUUAUUUCUCGUAUUACAAUAUUUUUAUAAAAAAUACUUUUAAUUAAGAUUGUUUGAAAAAAUAGAUGUUUUGUUAAAAUAGAUAUUUUACGACUCUUUGAUUUAUAACACUUAUAAAUUCAAUAUCCUAAUUCAUCAUAUCAAAACACUAAAAUUUAAAACCAUAUCUAGAACUUGAACUUUAACUUGUGAUAUAUUUAGUUAUCAAUUGAGCUAAAUGAAUGAUAUUAUUUUGGUCAAAUCAAAAGCCAUCUUUGUUAAUUACCCUAAUAAACUAUUGUUUAUCCAUAAUCAAAGAUCUCUUAUAGGCUUACAAAACUAUUUAUAAAGAAUGCAAACAUAGUACAUUUUGCAUGAACUAUCAUAAUCUACUUUAAAUACCUAGCAAUCAACUACUCUUUCUGAAAAAUCAUUCUUAGCCACCGGUUGGUAGAGUUUUCAAUGUACUUAGCAAUAGUUCUCCCAUCCCAAUGUAUGGAGUCAUUGUAAAAAUUUUAAAUGUAUCCAAAUGGAAAAAAUUGUUCCUUUAUCUUUCUCUUUAAUUGCUUCCACCAAGCAUAAGCUCGCCCUUUUAAUCUAAUACCAAUAAGCUUCACCCUUAUCUGUUCUUAAACUUUUAUGCACUUGAAAAUCCUUUAUACUUCAUUCAACUAAACGAUAAACUCUUCCACUUGUAAAGUUCCUACAAAAUUAGAAAGUUUAAUUUAAAAAUCAAAAUCUCCAUGAAGUGCUGCCCAAUUAAAAGGUUGCCUCCUCUAGAUUAGCCAGGGUUCACAAUUACUCUCCUCCUAUUCUUGUUGGGUGUUGUCGCACCCAACAUCGGGGCGGCCUUAAAAUUUUUAUUAAAUCUUUGGAAAGAAUGGAUUUCUGGCAUCCUGUUCUUUGAUGGGAAUAUUCUUGUUUAAGGAGUCGCCAUCUAGUAUUAUAGUUACUAGGAACCCUAAUUAGACAACAGAGAUUCUAUGGUUCGGGACUGGUUACAUAAAAUGGAAGAUAUUAUCACCCCUUAAACGUCUUGCCUGAGGCAGGCUGCAUUGCUGGUUUCGUCUUAAAUUGCUAAAUGUUUAUUAAUUUAUGUUAUGAAAAUUUGCUUAUAAUAUUCCUGACUCUGGCGCCAGUGAAUAUUUAAUUACGAAUAUUUCCAACUCUGGCGUUGGUAAAUAUUACGUAGCUAUAAAAAUAAAUUUAAAUCAGUAUUUUUUUUAUUCCCGACUCUGGCCCCAAUGAAUAAAUAAAUAAUAAUACAUUUAUUUUUUUGAAUGCACAUAUUUUUUAUUUUUUUUCUAGCUAAAUAAAAUUGAAUAAACGAAUAAAAAUAAUAUAAAUUUAAACCGGUAUUUUUAUUUCUGACUCUGGCGUCAGUGAAUAAACCAAUAAAUUUACAUUAUUUUUAUUCUCGCAUACACAUUCUUUUUUUUCUGUAUUAUUUUUUUUUUGUUGGGAUAGGCCCGGCCCGGCCCGGCAUAGUAUUUUUGGGCUGGGGCCUAGCUCAGCCCAUAUGGGCUGGGCUCAGAAGAACGCGUGCUGCUGCACUGUGCAAGUGAAUUAAAAUUCACUUGCACACUGCAUAAGGCAUUUGAAAUAAAUGCAGAAGAAGAAACCACUUACCUGGUCUGCUGGAAUCGAUGGACACGAUGGGGAAGCUCUGGCUGACCGGCACUGACUCCUCUCCUUUGCCCCUUCUUUUGCUUUCCUUUACUUUCUCUUCAGGUUCUGGAAACGCUGAAGGCAGUGGCAGCGAUCUCGUGACUUUCCUCUGCUCUUGUGUUUUUUUUUUUGGUCUGUGUGUCUCCUGGGUUUUCCAGUCGAGAAGAUGAUGAAGAGGCCGGCCUGAUGGGAACUUGUUUUUGAUUCAGGGUUUUUGUUGUUUGCAGGGACGAAACAAUGAGGGCCAAUCUCGUCUCUAUGUUUUGUUGUUCUCUGUGUCUCUGUGUAUUUAUUUAUGCGCGUCUCUCUGUUUUUCCCUUGUUUCCCCUGCUUUUCUUCUGUUUCUGGUUACUGGUAUUUUGCUCUGUCUCUCCUCCUCCCGAUCUUCUCUGUUCAAGACGAAGAUGAUGGUGGUCUAGGCACCAGGUCUGCUGGUUGAUGGCCCCUUCCCCCUCGGUGAAUUUGUGUUUUUUUACUCUGUAUUUUUAGCUCUCGAUCUCCCCCUCCUCUUUGUGUUUUCUUCGUCCUGCCUUUUAUAAGGCCAGAGACCUUCAAAAAACCAUCACCUCCACCUACGGGAUUGUGGCAAUCGUGGCAGAAGACAUCGUCACGAUUUGGAUCGGAUGCACUGGGAUUUUCCUAUUGAAUCGGCUGCCUCCGUGCGAAACGGAAGGGAUGAAGAACACAGCUUCCAAACGGUGUCGUUUGUGUGUUUGAAGCACUUUUUCACUUUGGUCCCUGCUUUCUUUGGAAAUUUUGAUAAUUGGACCUCAAAUAAAAAUUCCUUUUAAUUUUGCCCUUUUCUGGAUACAUUUCAAUUUGGUCCUUAAUUAAUUCUUUCAAUUUUGUCCUUUUUGGAUAAAUUUCAAUUAAGUCCCUGAAUUUAUUUAAUUAAUUAAAUCCAAGUUUAAUUAAGUCCACAAACUUAAUAAUUCUUCUAAUUUCAUUAAUUAAACUAAUCCAAAUUUUAAACAAAUUUCCAAACUUAUUAAUUCUUCAAUUUCUGACCAAUUUAUUCUCAAAUCUGAUAUUUUUCUCCCUAAACUUUAAAAUUUGUUGUCUUAACCCCAUUGUCAACUAUAUUUUUAAUCAUUGAUUUUGUAUUAUUUAUUUAAAAAAUUGGGUUAUGACAGUUGCCCUCUCUUUAUAGUAUUUAUGAUGCAAAGAUAUUGAAAUUUUUUUUAUUUUCUAUAGCUUUGUGUCGUGAAUUUAUAAAGAAAAAUAGACACAGAAAGAACUUUUGCCUCUUUUUUAGAGUCUUGAACACUUCAAAAACCAGAGAUUGACAUAUGACUUUUAUACAGAAAACAAGUCAUUUGGAAGAUAGCCUAUUUUUUUUUUUUUUAUUUUUUUUUAUGGUCGAGGGCUCGAAGGCGCACUCGAAAAUAAAUAAGACGAGGGCUCGAAGGCGCGCUCGAAUGGAGGUAGGAUAGAAAAUGCACUACCUUUGAUGGUCGAGGGCUCGAAGGCGCGCUCAAAAAUAAAUAAGUCGAGGGCUCAAAGGCGCGCUCGAAUGUAAAUAAGACGAGGGCUCGAAGGCGUGCUCGAAUGGAGGUAGGAUAGAAAAUGCACUACCUUUGAUGGUCGAGGGCUCGAAGGCGCGCUCAAAAAUAAAUAAGACGAGGGCUCGAAGGCGCGCUCGAAUGGAGGUAGGAUAGAAAAUGCACUACCUUUGAUGGUCGAGGGCUCGAAGGUGCGCUCGAAAAUAAAUAAGACGAGGGCUCAAAGGCGUGCUCGAAUGUAAAUAAGACGAGGGCUUGAAGGCGCGCUCGAAUGUAAGACGAGGGCUCGAAGGCGCGCUCGAAUGUAAGACGAGGGCUCGAAGGCGCGCUCGAAUGGAGGUAGGAUAGAAAAUGCACUACCUUUGAUGGUCGAGGGCUCGAAGGCGCGCUCGAAUGUAAGACGAGGGCUCGAAGGCGCGCUCGAAUGUAAGACGAGGGCUCGAAGGCGCGCUCGAAUGGAGGUAGGAUAGAAAAUGCACUACCUUUGAUGGUCGAGGGCUCGAAGGCGCGCUCGAAAAUAAAUAAGAUGAGGGCUCGAAGGCGCGAUCGAAUGUAAGACGAGGGCUCGAAGGCGCGCUCGAAUGGAGGUAGGAUAGAAAAUGCACUACCUUUGAUGGUCGAGGGCUCGAAGGCGCGCUCGAAAAUAAAUAAGACGAGGGCUCGGAGGCGCGCUCGAAUGUAAAUAAGACGAGGGCUCGAAGGCGCGCUCGAAUGUAAAUAAGACAAGGGCUCGAAGGCGCGCUCGAAUGUAAGACGAGGGCUCGAAGGCGCGCUCGAAUAGAGGUAGGAUAGAAAAUGCACUACCUUUGAUGGUCGAGGGCUCGAAGGCGCGCUCGAAAAUAAAUAAGACGAGGGCUCGAAGGCGUGCUCAAAUGGAGGUAGGAUAGAAAAUGCACUACCUUUGAUGGUCGAGGGCUCAAAGGCGCGCUCGAAAAUAAAUAAGACGAGGGCUCGAAGGCGCGCUCGAUGUAAGACGAGGGCUCGAAGGCGCGCUCGAAUGGAGGUAGGAUAGAAAAUGCAUUACCUUUGAUGGUCGAGGGCUCGAAGGCGCGCUCGAAAAUAAAUAAGACGAGGGCUCGAAGGCGCGCUCGAAUGUAAGAUAUGACGAGGGCUCGAAGGCGCUCUCGAAUGUAAGAUAGGACAAGGGCUCAAAGGCGCGCUCGAAUGGAGGUAGGAUAGGAAAUACACUACCUCAGGAGUGGAAACUGAAAGGUGGUGAAAAAAAUACAGAGAUUUUUCUGGUAACCUAAUUCUCAUGGGCGGCUUGCCCAGGUUGAAAAAUUCUCAAAAAAUGAUAACUUUUCAAAAGCAAUUUCAACGUUCGCCAUUUCAAGUUGGCCUUCCACUGGAUGGAUUUUGUUUAAAAAUUUUUCUAAUGCAAAAAGUCAUUGCUCAAUGUUUCAAAGUUUAGAUGAGAUGUAUGCAUCUUUACCUGAUUUGAAAUAUAGGCCCCCAUUUCUUCGCAAUCUUCUUGUUGAUCAGUUGAUGAGAUCUUGUUAUCUGAUUUGAGUCAUCUUUGUCGCUUGACUUCUAGCCCACUCGAGUUGGCCUAUGUAAGUUUAUUUCCAGAUUUGUUUACACCUCAGUUUUUGUGGUGCCCAUUGUGACCCGCUUGCUUGCUAGAGAUUUUCUAUCUCGUCAAAUAAUUAAGUCCACAAACUUAAUAAUUCUUCUAAUUUCAUUAAUUAAACUAAUCCAAAUUUUAAACAAAUUUCCAAACUUAUUAAUUCUUCAAUUUCUGACCAAUUUAUUCUCAAAUCUGAUAUUUUUCUCCCUAAACUUUAAAAUUUGUUGUCUUAACCCCAUUGUCAACUAUAUUUUUAAUCAUUGAUUUUGUAUUAUUUAUUUAAAAAAUUGGGUUAUGACAGUUGCCCUCUCUUUAUAGUAUUUAUGAUGCAAAGAUAUUGAAAUUUUUUUUAUUUUCUAUAGCUUUGUGUCGUGAAUUUAUAAAGAAAAAUAGACACAGAAAGAACUUUUGCCUCUUUUUUAGAGUCUUGAACACUUCAAAAACCAGAGAUUGACAUAUGACUUUUAUACAGAAAACAAGUCAUUUGGAAGAUAGCCUAUUUUUUUUUCUUUUUUAUUUUUUUUUAUGGUCGAGGGCUCGAAGGCGCCCUCGAAAAUAAAUAAGACGAGGGCUCGAAGGCGCGCUCGAAUGGAGGUAGGAUAGAAAAUGCACUACCUUUGAUGGUCGAGGGCUCGAAGGCGCGCUCAAAAAUAAAUAAGUCGAGGGCUCAAAGGCGCGCUCGAAUGUAAAUAAGACGAGGGCUCGAAGGCGUGCUCGAAUGGAGGUAGGAUAGAAAAUGCACUACCUUUGAUGGUCGAGGGCUCGAAGGCGCGCUCGAAAAUAAUAAGACGAGCCUCGAAGGCGCGCUCGAAUGGAGGUAGGAUAGAAAAUGCACUACCUUUGAUGGUCGAGCUCGAAGGCGCGCUCGAAAAUAAAUAAGACGAUUGCUCAAAGGCGUGCUCGAAUGUAAAAAGACGAGGGCUUGAAGGCGCGCUCGAAUGUAAGACGAGGGCUCGAAGGCGCGCUCGAAUGUAAACGAGGGCUCGAAGGCGGCGCUCGAAUGUAAGACGAGGGCUCGAAGGCGCGCUCGAAUGGAGGUAGGAUAGAAAAUGCACUACCUUUGAUUGGUCGAGGGCUCGAAGGCGCGCUCGAAAAUAAAUAAUGAGCGGCUCGAAGGCGCGCUCGAAUGUAAGACGAGGCUCGAAGCGCGCUCGAAUGGAGGUAGGAUAGAAAAUGCACUACCUUUGAUGGUCGAGGGCUCGAAGGCGCGCUAAAAUAAAUAAGAUGAGGGCUCGAAGGCGCGAUCGAAUGUAAGACGAGGGCUCGAAGGCGCGCUCGAAUGGAGGUAGGAUAGAAAAUGCACUACCUUUGAUGGUCGAGGGCUCGAAGGCGCGCUCGAAAAAUAAAUAAGACGAGGGCUCGAAGGCGCGCUCGAAUAAAUAAGACGAGGCUCGAAGGCGCGUCGAAUAAAUAAGACGAGGGCUCGAAGGCGCGCUCGAAUGUAAGACGAGGGCUCGAAGGCGCGCUCGAAUGGAGGUAGGAUAGAAAAUGCACUACCUUUGAUGGUCGAGGGCUCGAAGGCGCGCUCGAAAAUAAAUAAGACGAGGGCUCGAAGGCGCGCUCGAAUGGAGGUAGGAUAGAAAAUGCACUACCUUUGAUGGUCGAGGGCUCGAAGGCGCGCUCGAAAUAAAUAAGACGAGGGCUCGAAGGCGCGCUCGAAUGGAGGUAGGAUAGAAAAUGCACUACCUUUGAUGGUCGAGGGCUCGAAGGCGCGCUCGAAAUAAGACGAGGCUCGAAGGCGCGCUCGAAUGAAAAGACGAGGGCUCGAAGGCGCGCUCGAAUGUAAGAUAAGACGAGGGCUCGAAGGCGCGCUCGAAUGGAGGUAGGAUAGAAAAUGCACUACCUAGGAUGGAAACUGAAAGGUGGUGGAAAAAUACAGAGUUUUUUGGUGGCCUAAUUCUCAUGGGCGGCCUGCCCAGGUUGAAAAAUUCUCAAAAAUGAAAAUUUUUCAAAAGCAAUUUGAUCUUUGGCCAUUUCAAGUUGGCCUUCCACUUGAUGGAUUUGUUGGAAUUUUCUAAUGCAAAAAUCAUUGUCAAUGUCUCAAAGUUUAAAUGAUAUGCAUGCAUCUUUACCUGAUUUGAAAUAUAGGCCCCCAUUUCUUCAAUCUUCUUGUUGAUUGUUGGUGAGAUCUUGCUAUCUGAUUUGAGUCAUCUUUGUCGUUUACUUUCUAGCCCACUCGAGUUGGCCCAUGUAAGUCUAUUUCCAAAUUUGUUUACAACUCAGCAUUUGUGGUGCCCAUCGUGACCCACUUGCUUGCUAGAGAUUUUCUGAUUCGUCAAAUAAUUUGAGAGGAUUAUUCAUUACCCCUCGUUCACUGCUAAAAACAUUGGUAUCACUUGCUGAAAGGAUCGAGCUGUCUUUUGUAAACCAAAAUGCCCCCUUGUCUGUUGAAGGAUGAUAGAAUUUUCCUUCUAAACACAAUGUUGCCCCCUUGUAUUGGUCAUUGCCCCCAAGUGUGUUAUGUCACUGACUUAGAUGAACAAUGGUUUUUAAGAGGCCAUUCUCUCAUUUGGUGAAGGAAUAUGGGUCUAGAAUGAAUCUUGAAAUCUUGAUCUUGCAUUUUGAAAACAAAAAUUAUUUCGAUGUGAGUCUAAAACAAUUUGCUUUUGAAAUCUUGCAACUCCUUGGUUAUUUUCUUUCUUGGAAAAGAGAUUAUUUGCUCUUGUGUUUGGCAAUGAGGUCUUCGGUGAAAAUAUGUCAUGAGAUGACCUUUUGUUUCGAAGUGAAGGGCUCGAGAAAAAGCUCGAGGUUUUGUAUGAGAAAAACUUGUCUCUUUUUGAACAUUUAUUUUUAUCAGCAUGAAUAAUAAUGAGUAGUUUAUUCUUGAUGUCAUGAAUCUUAUGAAAAAGUAUUCUUUGCAUUUUGAGAGCAUUGUUUAUUGUUCUAGAUUGCUUGCUUGCUUGAUUAGAAAGGACUUCUACAGGCACGUAACAUAGGCUGUGGUUUUUGGCUAUGAAAGAAAAGGAUUCAUAAGGCUCAAAGAGUGUUUCAGGGUUUCAAAGACUGAAGAUCACGAUCAAUAGUUUGACUUUUGACGUCAUUCAUAUUUUCCUUUGCCGCUCUUCUUUGAUUUGCCCCCUUUUUCUUCUUUUUCAUUGCUUCGCUAGAGCAUACUCACUUUAUCUUGGUUAUCACUUUUUCUUGUGAUUUGGGCAUGCCCCCUAGUAUUUGAGUUUCUUGGGCUCUUUUGCCUUUUGGCUUUCUCACGGCUUUAUCCUCUUUCUUGAUCAUUGAAAUUUCACUUGCCCCUUUUUUUGUGAUGUGGGCAUGAUCCCUAGCAUUUGAGUUUCUUGGGCUCUUUUGCCUUUUGGCUUUCUCACGGCUUUAUCAUCCUUCUUGAUCAUUGAAAUUUCACUUGCCCCCAGUGUAGGGUGUGAUCUUAGUCGGGAUUUUUUUAUGAAAGAAAAAUUAUUCAGGCUCAAAAAGGGUUUGCAAGGGAUGUACUUAUUUUAGAACGUGAAAGGAAUAACAAAGAUGGCCUUUCCUCAUUUCAAGCGCAAGCAGCUAUGAUCAAUAAACUUUGACCUCGUAUAGUGUGAUGGUUUAUUCUUUGCAAAGAUGCAUUUCAUGAGUUAUGAGCAACAAGUUCACUACAUACCAUUAUUCAUACAUUUAAAAACACAUGAUUCAAGAGUAAUGGGGUAAGGGUGUUUAUUUUUUUUUUUCACAAUUGUUUUUAUAAUUUAGUCACCUCAAUGAUGGAGUUGCUUGAUUCACUUGUCAUUCUACAAGUAGAAUGUCAAAAAUAUCGUUUUUGAAUAAACAUCAAAUUAUUUUUUGAAAUCAAAAUGCCAGAUCAAUUUUUUUCAAAACUCCAAUAGGGAAACUGAUUUUUGGUAAAAGAGAUGAAUUGCGUCUAUGAGAUCGCACAAGGCUUCAAAGAUGUGUUUGUGAAUCUUUAUAAGAAAACUCUCUCAGAAAAAAUGAAUAAUGCUAAUCGUAAACACGAUUGAAUGACAAACUCAUUAUUUUCAUUGAAACUUUAGAAAAUAAGUUCAACAAGAAAGAACUUAUGACAACAUCUUGGGCUAUGAAUACUGGCAUGAUAACAUAUAAAGGGCUAAACAUUUAGCGAUCAUUGAUUGGAAUUUCUGGAAUUUCAAUCAUUCAUUCUCCUCGACAAGGGCAUCUUUUCAACAGUCAAUUGAAAUCAAAUGUAGAUCAUUCUCGACCUAAUAUCACCAUAGCUUUAUCUUCAAGAUAGUUGAUUUCUAGGAGUCGAUGUGAAGCAAUUAGCUAUAGAAAUGAUAAGUGCCUUGGCAACCACCUUCAGUGAAACCGUUCUUCUCAGUCGGGUUAGCAAUCUUACCUAACCCAAUGGCUUGUUCAAUCCUCUCAGCUAUAACAACUAGGUCAGUGAAAUGUUGUGCAGAGCUUCUAACCAAGUAUUCAAAGUACGGAGCUUUAAAGGUGUCGGAAAAUAAAUUGAUCAUCUCUUUUUUCAACAUGGGAGGGUUAACUUGUGCAGCUAACUCACUCCAUCUCCGGGCGUAUUCUCUUAUGGACUCCUUGUUGUCCUUCUCCAUAGCUUGCAAGCUUAAACGAUCAGGGCCCACGUCUAUAUUGAACUUAUAUUGCCUCAUGAAGGCAUCAACUAAAUUCUUCCAUUUUUUAACCUUGGUAUUGUCCAACCGCAUAUACCAAGUGAGGGAGACAUCACUCAAGCUGUCUUGAAAGAAAUGAAUCAACAAUUCUCAUUAUCAACAACCUCAACUAUUUUAUUUCAGUAUGAUUUGAGAUAAGUUAUAGGGCAUUGAGUUCCCGUAUAUUUAACAAAUUCUGGCACUCUAAAAUUUUUGGGAAUGACAACGUUGGGCACCAAACACAUCUCAGCAGCCUUUAUAGGAUCAUAUAAGUGAAUUCUUUCAAAUGCCCUCAUCCUUUGUUCUAGGGCAAUGAAUUUAUUCAGCUCAUCUUCUUUUACCAUUUUGCCCUUUUGAGAUUCAUUCUCUGUAGAAUCAAUGGUAAACGACAUUCUCGUGGGGUAUGCUGGUUGAAAAUGCGUGGCUUGUCGAAAAUCAGAUGACAACCCAUUUGCCCCCAGAUUAUGUGGAUUGAAGGAAUUUACAAGCAUAGGUUAAGGCUGAGCUAUAAAUGUUACUUUUCCAGAUUUAUCUCUCAAGGCCUGCUCGAGUAGACUAGUAAGCCUUGCGACUUCUUCUUUAAGAUUGUCCACCUCUUUUUGAUGUUGGGCUUCCAACUGGGCUCUUUCUUCGUUUUCCAUUUGUCUUUUCUCGAAAGGGUUUAUUAUAUGUAGGUUUCAAUGGGGAACCUAUAUUUCAACCUGUAAAUGUAAAUCAUGCAAUUUAUGCAAAAAUGUUGAUUCAAUUAAAAAUGCGUAUGGAAUGCAGAUACGUCCUUCACGGGAUGACAACCUAAUAGGAAGAUCCUAAUUGUUGAGUGCAUCAAAGGGUUGGUCAUUAUCUAGUUUCAAAGGGUCUCUCGCAUGCUCAGUGAUCGUCCAUGAAAGGUCGAUAUGAGGCUUACAAGUAGUGUGAAAAUAGAGGCCCUGAGUAAUAUCAGUUUGGCAUAUCAACCACUUCCAAGUAAACAAUCAAGCGAGAGUUGGAUGGUUUCACGAGUCUUACCCAGGCUAAAGCCAUUGGGGUACCGUUACUUUUCCACUUAUCCUAGAUUUUCAGGUGUGUGCUCUCAACGUGAUGCAUGACAAUAUAAACAUGGAUGCAUGCUAAAGCAGUAAAUUCAAGAAAAAUAAACAAAUAAACAUAACAUAACAAACAUUAUAGCAAUUGAUAAACAAAAGGCAAAGCUUAGUCCAUUAGUCCCCAGUGGAGUCGCCAUUCUGUCGCAUCCAACAUCGGGGCGGCCUUACAAAUUUUAUUAAAUCUUUGGAAAGAACGGAUUUCUGGCAUCCUGUUCUUUGAUGGGAAUAUUCUUGUUUAAGGAGUCGCCAUAUAAUAUUAUGGUCACUAGAAACCCUAACUGGUCAACAGAGAUUCUAUGGUUCGGGACUGGUUACAUAAAAGGGAAGAUAUUAUCACCCCUUAAACGUCCUGCCUGAGGCAGGCUGCAUUGUUGGUUUCGUCUUAAAUUGCUAAAUGUUUAUUAAUUUAUGUUAUGAAAAUUUGCUUAUAAUAUUCCUGACUCUGGCGCCAGUGAAUAUUUAAUUACGAAUAUUUCCAACUCUGGCAUUGGUAAAUAUUACGUAGCUAUAAAAAUAAAUUUAAAUCAGUAUUUUUUUUAUUCCCGACUCUGGCGCCAGUGAAUAAAUAAAUAAUAAUACAUUUAUUUUUUUGAAUGCACAUAUUUUUUAUUUAUUUUUUUUCUAGCUAAAUAAAAUUGAAUAAACGAAUAAAAAUAAUAUAAAUUUAAACCGGUAUUUUUAUUUAUGACUCUGGCGUUAGUGAAUAAACCAAUAAAUUUACAUUAUUUUUAUUCUCGCAUACACAUUCUUUUUUUCUAUAUUAUUUUUAUUUAUUUUUUGUUGGGCUGGGCCCGGCCCGGCCCGACAUAGUAUUUUUGGGUUGGGGCCUAGCUCAGCCCACAUGGGCUGGGCUCAGAAGCACGCGUGCUGCUGCACUGUGCAAGUGAAUUAAAAUUCACUUGCACAGUGCAUAAGACAUUUGAAAUAAAUGCAGAAGAAGAAACCACUUACCUGGUCUGCUGGAAUCGAUGGACACGAUGGCGAAGCUCUGGCUGACCGGCACUGACUCCUCUCCUCUGCUCCUUCUUUUGCUUUCCUUUACUUUCUCUUCAGGUUCUGGAAACGUUGAAGGCAGUGGCAGCGAUCUCGUGACUUUCCUCUGCUCUUGUUUUUUUUUUUUUGGUCUGUGUGUCUCCUGGGUUUUCCAGUCGAGAAGAUGAUGAAGAGGCCGGCCUGAUGGGAACUUGAUGCAGCACCGGGUGACAAGCCUCAUUUUUAAGACACCCAAAACAACAAAAAGGCUUGACAUUGUUGAGUCAUAAAUUUCACUAUUGAGCACUUUAAGUUUCUUACGUAACGCUGGGAGUUUCAUUCCCGUUUCCUCACAUAGCUUUUAUUUCCAUAAUUAAAUUAGAGUUGUUUGCUUUAGGAGUCUAAGAGUUUAAUUUUCUUUCCGUUUCUACAUUCAGUUUUAUUUCCUAGUUAAUGCAGGACUGUUUCCUGAUCUAAGGGAGUUGUCUUUAGGAGUCUAAGAGGUCAGUUCCUCUAUUUAUUGGAUUGUAAUCGCUUUGCGACAGAUAGAUGGAAUAAAAAUAAAAAAACUUCUUUGAGUAGUUAACUCAAAAAUCUCUCUUUCUCUGUUUUCUGCGGAAUUACAGAUCGAAGAAACCCUUGUGUGUUGGAACACGUGCGAACAUACCGAACCCUUGUGAACAACCGUUGGAUGAAGUCUAUGAGCGCGAUGAGAUUGCACGAUUACAACAGCAAGUCGAGACGUUAACGCGGCAGUUAGCAGCGUCAAUGGCUCAACAUCAGGAUCAGAAUCCACAAAACAUGGAAGAGGAGUCCGAAAGUGAAGAAAAUCCAUUCGCCCCUUAACUAGCACAGAGGAGACCAGCGAAUGACGAAUCAAGGCGUUGGGAGAUAGGCCUCAAAAUUGACAUACCAGAGUUCCAUGGUGGUUUACAAACGAAUGAGUACCUCGACUGGAUCAAUACCGUAGAUGAAGUUUUGGAAUUUAAACAAGUUCCAGAAGACAGACGGGUGGCCCUCGUUGCAACAAGGCUCAGGGGUCGGGCUGGAGCUUGGUGGCAACAGGUAAAGAAAACAAGGGCUCUACAGGGGAAAAGAAAGAUCACGUGAUGGGACAAGAUGAAAAAAAACAUGCGUUCUGCGUUUUUACCAUACAAUUAUACACGGACGCUCUACCAACGGUUACAAAAUCUAUGACAAGGCAACCGAUCAGUUGAUGACUACACUACGGAGUUCUACCAACUAGUUUCGCGAGAUGCGAUUGCAGAGGACGAGGAGUCGCGGGUGGCGCGAUAUAUUGGGGGACUGUGGAUUCAAUUCCAAGAUGUCCUUAAUAUGUUUGAUGUGUUGAGUGUGUCUGAUGCUCACCAGAGGGCAGUGCAAUUAGAAAAACAACAGGUGCGCAGAAAUACAGGGGGCAUAAAUUUUGGAGGUCCGGGUGCAGGUACGAGCAAUAAAAGCGGACGAACAGGGAACAUGAGUUUCGGGGGCUCCAGUACAGGUGGUGCAAGUAGCAGUAGCAGCGGACGAGCAAACAUCCCACCAUCUACUAUGACCAAACCCUUUGUGCCCACUCACACAACGGCACCAACCACAGGUUUUCGUUGUUUUAAUUGUGGAGAGCCAGGACACAGAUUUGCAGAAUGUAAGAAAGGACCACGGAGGGGAUUAUUUUGGACGUUGAAGAAAACAUCAGGGUGCAAGAAGGCGAUGUGACACAGAACCAGUUUAUGAUGAGGAGGAGCGACUGGAAGGAGAUCAUGGUCCCUUAUUGAUGAUUCACAAGAAGCACAUGGGUUAUUGCCGAGGGGAAAGUGUGGAAAUCAACCCUGGAACAACCUAUAGCAGCACAAAGAUAAUUGAAGAGCGUUUAGAGGGGGAUACUGGACCAGUAUUAAUGAUCCGACGUAGUUGCUUAGCACCCCGUGGAGUAGAAGAUGACUGGUUGCGGACUAAUGUAUUCCAGUCCACCUGCACAAUUAGCAGGAAGGUUUGUCGAUUUAUCGUUGACUCAGGUAGCUGUGAAAAUGUAUUGUCCGAAGAGGUGGUCCGUAAGCUACACCUGGCAAUAGAAUCACAUCCGCGACCAUAUAAACUAACUUGGCUAGAUAAGAAGAAUGAUGUUAGAGUGACAAGGCGCAGCUUAGUGUCUUUUUCAAUUGGCGCAACCUACAAAGAUCAGGCUUGGUGCGAUGUGGUUUCCAUGGAUGCUUGUCAUCUAUUAUUGGGCAGACCAUGGUUAUAUGACCGCGUGUGAUGUAUGAUGGGUUCUUGAAUACAUGCACUUUCAUGUUUAAUUCAAUCAGGGUUGUUGGUCCCAAAAAGAGAAAGUUACAGCGGCAUUCCAAAAGGAGAAAACAACAAUUUAUUGACGAUGGCUAAGUUUGAAGCGGAAAUUAGGGAAUCUGGAAUGGUUUACAUACUGAUUGGAAGAAUGGAAGUUGAGGACAAGCAUCAUUCCGGGCACGUUGAACCAUUAUUGCAGGAGUAUGGAGAUGUAUUUCCAGCUGAGCUUCCUGAAAGCCUACCCCCAUUAAGGGACAUUCAGCACCACAUUGAUCUGGUGCCCGGUGCCAAUUUGCCCAACAGACCACAUUAUCGGAUGAGUCCGAAGGAGCAUGAAGAAUUACGGCGCCAAGUAGAGGAAUUGCUAGCAAAAGGACAUAUUCGAGAGAGUCUUAGUCCUUGUGCGGUACCUGCCCUUUUGACCCAAAGAAAGAUGGGACUUGGCGAAUGUGUGUUGACAGCAGGGCCAUCAAUAAAAUUACGGUUCGUUACAGGUUUCCAAUCCCACGGUUGGAUGACUUGCUGGAUCAGUUGAGUGGGGCCACAAUUCACGAAGCUGGACCUGAAGAGCGGAUAUCACCAGAUUCGUAUUCGACCCGGAGAUGAAUGGAAAACAGCCUUCAAACUCGAGAAGGACUUUUUGAGUGGAUGGUCAUGCCGUUCGGGUUGUCUAAUGCCCCAAGCACAUUCAUGCGGGUGAUGAAUCAAGCCCUACGGCCCUACAUUGGUAAAAGCGUGGUGGUAUAUUUUGAUGAUAUUUUAAUUUACAGUGUUGAUCCUACGAUGCAUCUACAACAUCUUCGGGAGUUUUGGAUGUGUUACGCAGGGAGCAGUUUUUGCAGCAAAAACAAGUGUGUGUUCUUAACUGACCGGGUCUUGUUCUUGGGGUAUAUCAUUUCUUCUGAAGGGCUCUCAGUAGACGACUCAAAAAUUGAAGCCAUCAAACAGUGGCCACAACCACAAAACGUGACUGAUGUCCGAAGCUUCCAUGGGUUGGCCUCGUUCUAUCGCCGUUUCAUUCCACACUUCAGUGGCAUAAUGGCCCCAAUGACUGAUUGUAUGAGGAGCAAUGGUAAGUUUACAUGGACACCUGAGGCCGAGAUAUCCUUCCAAGAAAUCAAGCAACGACUGACCACUGCCCCAGUACUUGUUCUGCCAGACUUUUCAAAUCCUUUUAAGCUACAUUGUGACGCCUCAAAACUAGGAGUCGGAGCGGUUCUGAGCCAAAAUAGCAGGCCUGUCGCCUUCUUCAGUGAGAAACUCUCAGGGGCAAAGACACGGUACAACACCUAUGACAUUGAAUUAUAUGCAGUGGUUCAAGCAGUAAAGCAUUGGAGGCAUUAUAUGUUUCUUCAGGAGUUCGUUUUGUUCACUGAUCAUGAUGCCCUUAAACACAUGGGGAAUCAAGAUAAGAUUUCAUCUCGACAUGCAUCUUGGGCUGCAUACUUACAACAAUUCACUUUUGUCAUUAAACAUAAGGCGGGCACACAGAAUCGAGUGGCUGAUGCCCUCAGUCGUCGAAAAAAUUUGCUGGUUGACAUGCAUGUCAAGGUAUUGGGUUUCGACUCCUUUCAGCAGCUUUAUACCUCUGACCCUUUCUUUGCUGCUGUGAUAGAGAAAAUUCAGAACAACCAACAAAGUGAUUUUGUCCUGCAAGAUGGGUUUGUUUUCAAGGGCACCCAAUUGUGUAUACCUGACUGUAGUCUACGGACCAAGAUCAUACAAGAGCUGCACGGAGAAGAGCAUGUGGGAAGAGACCGAACUUAUUUGCUGGUGGCUGCGUCCUAUUUCUGGCCAUCACUGCGUAAAGAGGUUGGGUGUUUUGUUGCACGAUGUCGGGUCUGUCAAGUUGCAAAAGGGGGAGCUACCAAUGCCGGUUUGUACAUGCCACUUUCUGUUCCAAUACGGCAAUGGUCCGACAUCAGCAUGGAUUUUGUUUUAGGUCUCCCGCGCACCCAACGGGGAUUUGACUCUAUUUUUGUGGUAGUAGACAGGUUUUCAAAAAUGGCUCAUUUUAUUCCGUGUAAGAAAACGACAGAUGCUGUUAAUGUGGCUGAGUUGUUCUUUCGAGAAGUUUAUCGGUUGCAUGGGCUGCCAGAGUCAAUCGUAUCAGAUAGGGACACUCGUUUCCUAAGCCAUUUCUGGCGGAGUCUUUGGAAGAUGGUCAAUACUCGCUUGAAUUUUAGUAGUGCUUAUCACCCUCAAUCAGAUGGGCAAACCGAGGUAGUGAACAGGUCAUUGGGAAAUCUUCUUCGCAGUUUGGUAGGUGAUCAGUUAAAAUCUUGGGACAAGAAACUUGGCCAGGCAGAGUUUGCUCAUAACCAUGCAGUCAAUCGUAGCACCAAGCUCAGCCCCUUUGAAAUUGUGUAUGGGUUUCUUCCACGGUGUCCACUUGAUCUGGCUCAUCUACCAAGCAACACCAAAGUUAAUCACAAAGCAGAAGACUUUGUCACUCAGCUGCAGGAUGUUCACAACCUUACUCGACAAAACUUGAUGGAAUCUAUUGCCAAAUUCAAACGAGUUGCGGACCAAAAACGGCGACUUGUCGAUUUUGAAAUAGGUGACUUUGUCUGGGUGGUGCUAACCAAGGAUCGUUUUCCUAUAGGUGAAUACAAUAAAUUGUCACCAUGAAAAAUUGGUCCAGUGGAGAUUAUUAAGAAAAUUAAUUCAAAUGUUUAUCGCCUCAAGCUACCUAGCCAUAUUCGCACAGCAGAUGUGUUUAAUGUCAAGCACUUGGUCCCUUUCCACGGAGACUCAUCACCAGAGGAUGCAAAUUUCCUGAAUUCGUGGCCGAAUUCUUCUCAGCAUGGGGAGGAUGAUGCAGCACCGGGUGACAAGCCUCAUUUUUAAGACACCCAAAACAACAAAAAGGCUUGACAUUGUUGAGUCAUAAAUUUCACUAUUGAGCACUUUAAGUUUCUUAUGUAACGCUGGGAGUUUCAUUCCCGUUUCCUCACGUAGCUUUUAUUUCCAUAAUUAAAUUAGAGUUGUUUGCUUUAGGAGUCUAAGAGUUUAAUUUUCUUUCCGUUUCUACAUUCAGUUUUAUUUCCUAGUUAAUGCAGGACUGUUUCCUGAUCUAAGGGAGUUGUCUUUAGGAGGCUAAGAGGUCAGUUCCUUUAUUUAUUGGAUUGUAAUCGCUUUGCGACAGAUAGAUGGAAUAAAAAUAAAAAAACUUCUUUGAGUAGUUAACUCAAAAAUCUCUCUUUCUUUGUUUUCUACGGAAUUACAGAUCGAAGAAACCCUUGUGUGUUGGAACACGUGUGAGUUCCGUUUUAGUCUGCAUCAGAACUUCUUUUUUAUUCAGGGUUUUUGUUGUUUGCAGGGACGAAGGCAAUGAGGGCCAAUCUCGUCUCUAUGUUUAGUUGUUCUCUGUGUCUCUGUGUAUUUAUUUAUGCGCGUCUCUCUGUUUUUCCCUUGUUUCCCCUGCUUUUCUUCUGUUUCUGGUUACUGGUAUUUUGCUCUGUCUCUCCUCUUCCCGAUCUUCUCUGUUCAAGACGAAGAUGAUGGUGGUCUAGGCACCAGGUCUGCUGGUUGAUGGCCUCUUCCCCCACGGUGAAUUUGUGUUUUUUUACUCUGUAUUUUUAGCUCUCGAUCUCCCCCUCCUCUUUGUGUUUUCUUCGUCCUGCCUUUUAUAAGGCCAGGCCUUUUAUAAGGCCAGAGACCUUCAAAAAACCAUCACCUCCACCUACGGGAUUGUGGCAAUCAUGGCAGAAGACAUGGUCACGAUUUGGAUCGGAUGCACUGGGAUUUUCCUGUUGAAUCGGCUGCCUCCGUGCGAAACGGAAGGGAUGAAGAACACAGCUUCCAAACGGUGCCGUUUGUGUGUUUGAAGCACUUUUUCACUUUGGUCCCUGCUUUCUUUGGGAAUUUUGAUAAUUGGACCUCAAAUAAAAAUUCCUUUUAAUUUUACCCUUUUCUGGAUACAUUUCAAUUUGGUCCUUAAUUAAUUCUUUCAAUUUUGUUCUUUUUGGAUAAAUUUCAAUUAAGUCCCUGAAUUUAUUUAAUUAAUUAAAUCAAAGUUUAAUUAAGUCCACAAACUUAAUAAUUCUUCUAAUUUCAUUAAUUAAACUAAUCCAAAUUUUAAAUAAAUUUCCAAACUUAUUAAUUCUUCAAUUUCUGACCAAUUUAUUCUCAAAUCUAAUAUUUUUAUCCCUAAACUUUAAAAUUUGUUGUCUUAACCUCAUUGUCAACUAUAUUUUUAAUCAUUGAUUUUGUAUUAUUUAUUUAAAAAAUUAGGUUAUGACAGGUGUUUUAUUUCAAUUGUCACAUAAGUUUUGCGAUCUACCUUUGUAUAUCCUCAAUUUCUAGCUCAUGAACCUUUUUCUCUAAAGAAGAAACCUCUUCAUCCUCUCCUUGAACAUGUUUAGUUUUAUUAUUUUUUCCAGCUAUGGUUGUUUUGCAGCAUACAAAAAGCAAACAAUAAUCAAAGAUUGUUAGGUUCUGAUAUCAACUAAUAUAAACAGAAAUAAUACAAAAAAAUAGCAAAAACAAACAACACAAUUCUACUAAAAAGGAUCAUCACACCAAAAACCAGAAUUCAAAAUUUUAUUUCUUAAUAAUUUACCAUGUCAAGUAGUUUCCUUUGUAAGAGAUUUACAACUCCUUAAAUAAACUAAAAAAACACCUAAACAAACUAAAAACCUUCAAAAAAAAAACAAUAAAAUUCAUAAAAUAAUUAAAAAAAUAAAAUUAUUAAACAUAAUAUUUUAAAAGAAAUAGAAAAAAAAAAGAUAAAAACUAAGAAAAAUCAAUUUUUCAAAAAAAAAAAAAUCUCCUCGGAAACUCUAUUGUCCCUUCAUUUAUUCUACUAGCUAGUUUGGGCAUGUAAUCACAAGACGAGGCUUCAAUACACCUUGCUCAUACAUUAUUUAUAACCACACUAAGGAACACAGUAUAUCACAAGCAUUCUAGAUCUUGAACAAGUAGAUACAUCUGAAGCCAUUUUAAAGGCUUACCUUACCUUCAUUGAACUUAGAUACCUAUAACAAGCUUGACAGCUUGAAAUGUUACCUUCAUUGAACUUACAUACCGAUAACAGGCUUGACAGCUUGAAAUGUUCUAAAGCAGAGAUCCCAUCGAGUCCUUUUGCAUAGUAGUAGGUCGCCAAGCCCUUUACAGUGGUUUCUUGCUAGAUUGCGGAGCUUUAUACUGAUAGAAAAUCCUUAAUUGGCCCACAUAGUCCUGAGGCAUUCUCAGGACGAAUAAUUUCAAGACUCAUUCUCACCCUAAACCUUAUCAUCAUUACUAGGACAUGCUGGUUUGCUAGCUGCAUGAGUGCAUUCCAUUAAGAUUUCAAGGAUUUUCAUGAUUUAACUGUACAGAAAAUCUAUGUUUGAUUGAAUCCAGGAACCUUUACACGAGGCCUAUUAUAAUCACUACAGGAUAUUAAUAGAUUUUGCAAUACAGGGUUUGGCGAGUUGCUUUGAGCAGCAAGCACACGCACCUCAUGCAUUAGCCGCAUGAGGGUGUCCUUUCUGAACCGCUGAGCGUUUUCUUCGAAUAAAUUCAACCAGACACUUUUGCAGAAUGCUUGAGACUCUCCAGCAGAAUUUGUGGUAAUACAUGCAAGAGCAGAAUCGAAGUCUUCUUUUUCAAGCAUCAUGCAAAAUCUUUCUUUGACAAGAGGCGGCGGAGGAAUCCUAUCUUCCUGCUCCAAGUGCUUCCAAGUUAUUUCCAAAACUUCUCCCUGCAGUCACAAUGGGAAUUUGUAACUUCUCUUGAAUUGAAGAUUAGAAACAAAAAGAACACUAUUGAUGCUGUUUCAUCGUUGCCACUACACACAUACUACAUGUAUUUUUGUUUUUAUUAAUAUAGGCAUGAACAAUUCUUUAGUACUAAAUCUGAAGUCUUGAAAGGAUAAAGUGAGAAAUUUCAAUUUCUCUUGACAGUUUAUAUCUAAAAUUUGAAGAGGAUAAGGACAAGAAAGUUAGAUUUCCAUUACAAUGAAUUCUGAGAUUUUACACUUCCUAAAAUUUUCAGAAUUCAGAAUUUUCUAACAGAUGAAUUACCUAGAAGCAUUUUACAAAGAUUGUGUCCAAAGUGUACUAAAAAGAUAAGUUCUUGUCAUCCCUCCUAAGGAAUUCAACAAGGCAUCUAUUUUAUUCCUACAAGUGCUUUUGACUGUUCUCAUAUAAUAGCACCUUGAAUCAGGCUAUUCAGUCAGGAUGUAGAUGCAGUUUGGUAGCCUAGUGUUAUUUUUAUGGAGAUGCUAUUAACAUCCAUUUCAAUAAUAUGUUCACGUACAAGUGUAAUUUCAAAUAAUCACAAUAGAUUUGAGAAGUACCUUUCCAGCUCUAGAAGCAUCCAGUACCAUUCGAAGAUGACGGUUUGCAUUGAAGUGGAACCCAUGGCGCAACAUCUUUUGAUAAAUGUACUCAAAAUCAUCCCACCUGUUCUCUGCAAUGCUUGCAUCAAGCAUGGUGUUGAAAGUAUAGAUAUCUGGUAUUACCCGAAACUUGUAAUCAGAUCUUCUGCUGAUAUGAUUGCCAUCGUCUAACAUCUUGUUGAAAAGCUCGUUUGCUUCUUCAAACAAUCCAUGUUCUAGAUACGCUUUCAGCAUUAUGUUGCAAGUAACAAGAUUUGGGGGGCAAAAGUUCCUCAUUUGAUUGAAGAUGUACACAGCGUUUUGAAUGUUUCCAGAGUCCAGACAAGCUUGGAUUAAGCCAGUGUAAGUUACUACAAGCGGCUUAUUAGCAACCUUGCAUAUUUUCUCAAUCUGUGAAAUGAAAGGAGGUUGUGAUGGACUGUUUGUUCAAAGAAAAGCUAGUGGUAAUAAUAAGCACACAAAUUGUAGGUGGUUGAAGUGACACCAAACCUGUUGCAAUCUACUUGUUUAUAUCAUGGAGUUUUACAAAAGCAUCAAUGAGUGUACAAAAUAUAUAGCUUUAAAGCUUGCAAACUAUUAAAUGCCCAAAGAGACAUCCCAGCAGUUAGGAAAGGGCCCCAAUUGUGCAGCCCAAGGCUUCUUCAGUCUCUCAAUGAACCAAAGACGCACUUGCAAAACAUGCAUAUUCUUUGUGCAUUCAACAGUAGUAUAAGCUGAAACCUUAACUGGGCAGGCAACAGUUAUCAAUACACAGAUUUUUGCUUUUUGCAGUGAUAUAGCUCCCCGUGCUCAUAAACUCUAAUUAGCAACACACCAUUCAAUGCAUGCGGAUCGUUUAGCUACAAUACAGUGUUCUUUAUAUUCAGUUGUAAACAUACAUGCACAACAGAAACAUAGUAGAUUAAGCAUAAAAAGAUUACCAGAUCUAGUGCUUCUUGACACCUUCCAGAUGUACAGAGACAGCGUGCAAGAUCAUAAUAAAGAGCAGCUCAAUUCCCCGUCUUUCCAUGUCUUUGACAGCCAACACAGCCUCUUCUGUCUUACCCUCUCUCCAAAAAGUAUUGACGAGAACUGUAUGUAACAAGAAUUUGAUUUCAAAAUGAGGUUCUAUAAAAUCAAAUAAAUGAUAGACCAGUCAAGCACCUUUAUAUACUAAGGCAUUUGGAAUGGAAGACUUCUGAACUUUUUUGAAGAACUCAUGAACCAAGUUGUACUUGCCACAAGCAAGCAUGACCUGCUCAAGUAAACCAUUUUAUCAUUUCCUGGUUAUUACAAAAACUAAGAUGUAUAUUCAAGAAAAUGAGAAUAUCUAAACUGUUACCAGUUCCAUAAGUCCACUUUAUAAUACACAAGGCUUUUCAUAGGAAACAUUUUUCUUGAUGGUAUGCAGGUCAAAAGGAUAGCUCAUGCUCCUAUGCUUUGACAAUGAUAUUUAACACCAAAACCACCCUAAAAGAUGCUAGAUUGAGCACCUAUCUUAAAGAGCCAAAAAUGAUGGGAAAUUAUCACUUCAUGAUGCUAUGAAAUGGUACCCCCUCUUACUACUGAAAACUAACAUUGGAAUCCAACAUUAACAGAUAGUAGAAACUACCACAUGAACACAUGAGAGUGAAUCAAGAUAAAAAAACCUUAGAAUUAUCUUAAUUGUGAAGUAUGCAGUCAUUUGAAUAAUAUAAAAUUGAAUAUGAGAAACAGAAAGCCCAACCAGAGAAUUAAUAUUGUACAGCAAGUUCAUAUGACACCCUAUUCAACCAAACUGAUGUACCUAGGUUAGGUUACUAACUUCAUACUGCAAAAUCAAAGUCUUUUUUCUGAAUUAAACCUUUUAUUUAGCACUGGGUAAAACCUGGGGUACGUUCAAACCUCUCAGCAACAGGUGAGAUGAAUCUGGACGACACCAAAGAGGUUGGUGGUAGGAUUUGAACCAACAGUUGAUGUUUUUACUCAGAAAAAAUAAGUCCAUAUGCUUAGAUUAGAAGUCUAGUUCUAUGAACAGCUCUAUGAAAGUUGAAAUAUGGAGUGAUAAUCAUAGUAGCAAGUACAUGACUAGCUGUUUAUCAGAACAAUGAUAAACUCAUACAACAAGGUAUUGCUAAGAAUCUAAGAUACAGGUUCUGCUGAUGUGAAAUAUUGAUAAGAACCAUGGAUAGUAAAAACAGCUAUUACCUCCAUAACAAGUCCAUACGUUGCAGGUUGCACACCCUUUUCCUUCAUCUGCUGUAAGACCCAAAAUGCACCUUCCCAUUGUUUUCGCCGAACACAAGCAUUUAGGACCUACAUACAGAAGGAAUGUCAAAAUGCCGUGGAUGAUCAUAGCUGGAUUUAUGCAUUAUGUAAAUUGAAAUGAUUCACAGAUAAUUGAUUGAAUAUGCCAAGGGAAAUAGAUAAUGCAUGAUCAGCAAGUUAUGGCACAAGUCCAUCCUUGGUGUUAUACCCAAUUAGUGGGAAGAGAUGCAAUAGAUGAGAUAGUCGAAAUUCUUAGAAUGAUCUUAAGACUACGGAAAAUAUGCCCUCUCAAAACAAUAUACAGUAAUGAUUUUACUUUGCUGUUACAGGGACCACAAAGCACCCUUUCAGGUCAUCUCAAAUUUAACAAAGCAUGCUUAUUGUUUAAUGUUGAUAACAAGAUCAGUUCAUACCUAGAGAACAUGCAAAAACUAUAGAUUUUUAGAUAGAGAUAAGUCAAAACUUAGCUUAAUGGGUAUCAUUUGGAAAGGUUAGAUUCAAUGAAAAGAACUUGUCAUCCAAAAAUUUCAGAGGGCUAUUAUGUCAUCCAGCAUAAGCAUAAGGUGAUGCAAUAUACUGGGUUUAGCAAUUUCUUAAAUAUCCAUAACAUUUUCUUUGAUAACAGUUUUGAACUAUCAUGUAUUUCAGGCUGACUUUGAGCACAUGCCCACAAACACAUGCAUGCAGAGUUAAUUACAUUUGACAUGCUUGGGACAACUAACAGUCAUCAAUAUGGGUUUUGAAGGAAAAAUUAUAGUGCAGAGGUUACAGACAAAUGUUUUCCAGAUAUAGACGGCUAGUUUACUGCCAAGUGUCACUAACCGCAUUGUAGACAACAAUAUCAGGUUCCAACCCUAGGUCCCGCUUCCCAAGUGCCCCAGAUUUGAACUUCUUGGGAGGAGAUCGCAUGCUAUCUAUGACAUCAAAAAGUUCCUUCAUAUAUCCUGCUUGUCCGAGAGUGACAGCUAUAGAACGAUAAGCUACUAGGUCAGGAUACAAACACAUUUCUUGCUGGAGAGAACAGGGGAAAAAAAGAAGAAGAAGCAAUGACACAAGUCAGUGAGGAUUUCCUUUUAUAUUGUUCAAUUAAAUAACCUUGUAUUAAAUGAGAAAGGAGCAAGGCAUCAGAUGAAAAUUCUUGAGCAUUACCUGCAUUGCAUGAAAUAAAUUGAGUGCCUCCACAGGUCUCUUUGCCUUGCCAAGUACAUGAAGUGCAGUUGUGUAAACAUGACUGUAUCAAGACAUGAUGACUUACCCAAAUUACCAAUCAAAAUUUACAAUUUUGUGAACUAAUUCAAGAGAGGAUAAAAUUUUGGAUUGAGUGAUACAAGUCAUGAAAACUAUAUUUAGAAACAGAACAAGCUUUUUUUCUGCAACGUUAAAAGGUAAAAGAGUAUAUGUUGCAAAAAAGCUACACUCCAAAGAACUAAAGUGGGCUUCUCUUUCCUUACAGGACAGAGAUUCACCCUUCAGUAUGAUGAUGUUCAAUUUAAUCAAUUUAUGUAGAACAAUCUAGAUUUUGUCUGGGAAGAAACUCUGAGAGAUUAUCUUUGAAAUUUACCAAGCAUCAAGAUAAAUUCCAUUGCUCCUUGAAUUUCAGUACUCUGUACUCUAGAAAGGUAUUGUCGUUCAUGCAUACAAACAGCAGUGCAAAGAAGAUGAGAAGAUGUUACCUUAGCCUGUGGGAUUUAUAGCGUUCUCGUAUGUUAAGCCACUCGAUAACUUGUAGCACUCGCCUCCAAUUGCCCAAUUUACCCAAUAUCUGGAUAAUCCUCAAUACAGAAUGAUCUGUAUAUUUAACUCUAGCACUACGCAUUGCCUUAGAGAACAUCCACUCAGGCAUAUCAAUAUCAGCACCAUUUAACCUGCCGAAAUGAGCUGCUUCAACUUGGCAUGAUAAAUGAAUCAUCAAAGAUACAAAGAAUGAGACUGGUUCAAAUGAAGCAAUGAGCUACUUCAACUUGGCAUGAUAAAUGAAUCAUCAAAGAUACAAAGAAUGAGACUGGUUCGAAUGAAGCAUAGAAAAGAUAGAUGUACAUAUUUAAUGUAAGGGAACUUGUAUGUUCACAAGGUUAUUGACACAAGCACACAUGCCCACAUUGAAGAAAGAAUAGACAACUAUUAGAAAUUAGAAAGUUAAUUUGAUCUGAUGUAGAAUUGGGAAUAGACAAUUAUUAGGAAUUAGAAAGUUAACUUAUCUAUGAUGUAAAAUUUACCUAAACUUAAUAUCUAUGACUUGAUUUUAUACUGGUAUUUAUAAAAUUACAUCUAAAAAUACAAAGAAAGGAUAUGCUAAAAAAUCCAAGACAAGAAAACAAGAUUUCGAUUAGAAUUAUCAGGAACAAAUUUCAUUCCUUGUAAAAUUAAAAAUUAUUAGGAAUUGCUAAAAUAUUUAGAAUAUGAGCAAUUUAAGCAAUGGAUUUAGUAGGAAUUCCACUGGAAUGCAGGCUCGCGAGAAUUACUUUCUAAAACAAAACAUCAUCCACACAAAAAGACAUUCCCUUCAUUGAUGUUUAACAACUUGUUCCUCCAUAAUUUGUUUACUUUUAUAUGAACUGUCCUGCUUUCUGGAAAGAACAAACCAAGUAAGAAACCAACGGCCCCUUGCCCCCCAAAGCUAAGGCUGUCCCACAAACAAAACUGCUUGGUGUGUGACUGUAAUCUAAACAUGGAGUGAGGAGAAGGGGCACAUUAAUCUCUGGAGCACUUGUUACAGUGGCAAAUCAGAGUCCAAUGAAUUCAAAAAUGUAUCAGGUAUCAGUACCAAAGUUGGAAAAAUAAACAGGGACGGAGGACAUUGUAUUGGAAAUGUUCUUUGACAUGAAUCAGAUUGCUUUGCUCUGUUACAUGAAGACUGGUACAAUUACCAGCAUAGAUCAAAAUACAAAAUAGAUUAGCUACACAGAAUUUGCACACACAUGCCAAAAAUUUGUUAGUUGUAAUGAAGGAUAGUUAAAGUUCAGUUGAGCUUAUGAAGAAAAAAAGAGAGGAUAUAAAAGAGUAUAGAUUACACACCAGUUUCCUAGCUUCUGAAUCUUCUCCUCUAUUUUCCACAUCGGAACUUUUGUCUUGCCAAUAACAUCAUUGGAUUGCUCAAAGCUUUUAAAGGCAGCCCUUUUCACUUCAAAAUCUCACCAUAUCCCCUUUCAAGAAAAGCCUGAUCACUUCUUUUGAUAAUCCGUUUUCUGCACAUAUCUCUUGUCAGUAAUUUUAUCAGCUUGACUACGAUUCCUGACAAGUCCACCAUUCAUUUUGUUGACUCCAGAACCAAUGUUCUCUUCUUCAAAAGCUUUCCCCUUUAUUCCAAACAUAUCCAGGGAAUCUUUAGCAUGAGCAAGAUUUCUUUUAAGCCAAUAGUUCUAUCAAUGCUUUCAAUAUAUUCUAAUACAUAGGACUUCGUUGAGCAAUUCGAGUCUUCUACUCUUGGUUUCAUUGAAAUCCUCUGAGUCUGAAUUCAUGCUGCUAGUAUGAUCCCUCAACCAUCGUCCAUCACUCGUUGCCCUCCCAUUUUCCUUCUAAAUCAGCAUGCAGACACUUACUUUUCCACCCACCUUAUGAUUGAACUCUCUAAUUCUCCUCCUCUGUAAUCAAGCUCAACAUUAACUACAUCUUCUUGACCAGAGCAUCCAUCACUAUUUCACCAAACUCAUCACUUUCCAUGACUCCAGACACCUUUUCUCGUUGUUAAACCUCUCAAAUCCACAUUGCUUUCAUGUCUUACUGAUGAAGGGGCAUCACUCUCCUCUAAAUCACCCUUCAAAUUAUAGCAUGCGCAUGACUUUCUUUGCCAUCCACAUUAUGACUGAACUCUCUAAUUCUUCCCCCUCUGUAAUCAAGCUCUGCGUUAACUACAUCUUCCUCACCACUGGGUCCAUUAGCAUUCUCGCCAAACUCAUCACUUUCCAUGAUUUUGGACACCUUCACUCGAUCCUUAAACCCCCUCAAUUUUACACUCCUUUCAUCUCUUUCCAACAAUGGCGCAUCUUCCCUCUAAAUCAUCCUUCAACUUAUAACUAUUUGACUUAUGUACUUGAUUCUUUUCUUCCAGUCUUAACAGACUCCAUAGCCUUCAAAUACUCACCAAAGAUGGUUUAAAUUCUAACUCUUUCUCAAUAACCCCACCACCACCAACCAACCGAUUAUCAGACUCGUCUUUUUGCAAUGCCUUAACUCUUAAACCAACAACUCUCAUUGCUUUUCCCACGCUUGCUCUUCAAUGGAAACCAGAAAUUGGAGGUCUCCAAGAAUUCAAAGGCCCACAUGAAGAAUAUGGUUUCCAGCUACAAUUACAGGUUAAGUUCCCAUUUCUUUCAAAACCAGAUAAACCGUUUUGCCCAUUUGUCAUAAUUAUCACCUCCAUAUUAUCAAUUCACACGACACAGUCUCACAAGCCAAGUAAACCUCUAUCUUGGAGUCACUAAAAAAGAUUCCCUAGCUUUGCCUAUGAUUGAAAAAUUACAUUAUCAUAAUAAAAAGUUGAUCUUUUUCGAUAACAUACUGAAAAUUGACCUUCAAUAAUCUGAAUUUGUGAAUAAAAACAAAAUAUAACCAAGAGAAUUACAAAAGAAACCAAUGUUACUUACAAAGCUCCCAGGAAGAAAAGAAGCAUGAGAAGAUGCUAAAAUACUAUAAAGUCGAGUUCUUUUUAAGGUUUUGUUUCACUCACUGUUUUCAGUGCUUGUGGUCGAGACAUACAUGAUGACAACCUUUUACAAGGAACUUAUCGUGGCACAAUCCAAACUAGCAGUUCUGCCUGUUUGCCCAAUAGAAGCCGAUGUCUGUCAUUUGGCCUCUGGAUUAUAUAGGUGUUUAUCUAAGGGCUACUCAUUUAUUGGGCCCAAAGAGUACCUUUCAGAUUCUCCUACUUCCACUUGUGAAACCCAAACAAAAAAUCAACACAAGACCCAGAUUUUAAAUUAGAAAAAUCAACCCAAUUGAUCUUAUUUUUUUAGCCAAAAGAAUCAAAAACAACGUUUAACUGAUUGAAAAUUGGAGUUUUGAUUAGGUCAAAAUCUAGGAUUAUUAAGUUUUUUUUUAUUUGAUGGUAAAAGUAUUCUCAAACUAGAUUGUACAUCAACAGAAACUAUAAGUAUUCUCAAAUGAUGUUAAUGUCUUGUUUGUUUUUAGAAAUUUAUUUUCCUGAAAACUAUUUUUCACACUUUUUCAUGUUUUAUAAACAUAAAUAAAGUUGGUCAAGGAAACUGAAUUACAAUCAAAGAAAAAAAGAAUGAUUUAUGGCAGGAAAGUGUUUUCCUUUCCUUAUUCUAAGGAAAACACUUUUCUUUUCUUUGUUGACAAAACGUGUACUGUCCAAAAUACAAAUUUCUAACUCUCUUUCUCUCUCAAAUCUCUUACAGAACAAUUAAAGCAUCUCUCAGCUCUUCUUUCAGGUAAUUUUUUUUCCUCAAAUGUCUUUAUUUAUCUUAUGUUUUCAUCCUUUUUAUUUUUAAUCUGUAGUUAUAAUAAUGGCAUAAAUGUUUGUGAUAUAUUUGCUGCAUUUUUUUCAUGAUUUAUCUUGUUAAUUUACUGCAGCCAAUGCUCCGUAUUUUUUUCCAGAAACCAAACAAAACAACACACCCAUUCAACCAUAACAAACCCAAUUUUUUUCCUAGAAACCAAACACAGCAAACCCAUACACAAACACAGCAAACUCAGAGAAUCACCAUUCCUUCGUUUCGCCACUUAAAGAAUCACAGCAAACUCAAAGAAUCACCAUUCCUUCGUUAAGUUGAAGGCGUCUUUCGUUUCGCCAUUCCUUCCAUGUUGAGCCACCACUCUUCGUCAAGCAACCCAUACAUAGCAAACACAAACCCCUACAUUUUUCCUAGAAACCAAACACAGCAACCUAUACACAGCAAACCCAAACCCAUUUUUCUCUUGCUGUGAUUUUUUCAUAGAAACCUGGUUUGCUGUGUUUUUUUUCACAGAAACCAAACAAAACAUUUUGUUUGGUUUCUGUGAAAAAAACACAGCAAACCCAUGCUCUAUUUCUUCUUUUGUUUAAUCGAAAAGAUAUGCUUUCAAUUCCCCUCCAUCUCUUCAUCUUCCUCUCCUUUUCUUCAAUUGCUUCUCUUCUAGAAGAACCCGACCCACCCAAUGUCCCCUUCCCAAAUCUGCUACCUUUGGCUCUCCUUCUCCUUCUCUUAUGCUUUCCUGUAAAUGCUUUCCUUCUCUGUUGAUGAUAUGUGUUUCAUGUGUUUUCUAGGCGUGAUGUGCGUGCAUUGAUGAUGAUGCACAGUGAUGUUGUGUGCGUUAAUGAUGAUGAUGAUGCACAGUAAUGAAAGGGGAAUUGGUUUGGGUAGAAAUCUUAGACCGUGAAAUAUUAUGUGCAUUGAUGAUGAUGAUUAUACACAGUAAUGAAAAACUGAAAUGGUUUGGGUAGAAAACUUGAGACCAUUAAAUAUUUAUAUACAUAAUUCAUUAAUAAAUUAUUGUAUUGUUUGUUUUGGGAUACAGAAUUCAUCAUAUAAUUAUUUUCUUUUAAGGCAUUGUUUGUUUUGGGAAUCAGCUUCUUUGAGCAUAAUUUAUUGUAUUGAUUAUGUAAGUAUUUUAUAUACUUUUGUAAUGUUUAUUUCCCUAAAUUUUUAGGUUUUGUUAGCAGAAAACUUUACUUUUUUGUUAUGGAUAGUAAGAUUAUUCAUACAGCAUGUAUGGGAGCAGCUGUAAUUGUGAUAGUUAUAGGAGUAGCUAUUAUUGAACAAGAAAGAAAUAAAAUUAUAUACAAAGAGAACCACGUAUAGAUGAAAUUGCUCAAUGAGAAUUCUAUAUGGAUAGCAUUUUGAAUCGAGGUGAUAGACAUUGCAUUGAACAAAUUUGUAUGAAACCAGUUGUCUUAUAUAAUUUGUGUGAUGUUCUCACAAGUCAUGACCUAUUACGAUCAACUCAAAAUAUGUCUAUUAGGGAGCAAGUAAUUGUGUUCUUACAAAUUGUAGACCAAAACCAAAGAUUUCAUUUUAUUAGUGGUAUAUAUUAUAGGUCUGUUGAAAUUAUCUAUCGUUACUUUAGAAUUGUUUUAAAAGCAGUUCAUAAGUUAUACAAACACCUAAUUAAAGACCCAGGGGAUAUAGUUCCCGUAGAGAUAAUGAAUAAUCGAAGAUUCUAUCCUUAUUUUAAGGUAUGAGAACAAUACCAAUAUUUUUAUACAGUAAUUAAUUACAUCUAAAAGAAAAGGUUGUAAAUUAUUUUUUCAUGUUUAUACAGGAUUGUGUGGGAGCAAUUGAUGGUACCCAUGUUCCUGCAAAUGUUCCUGUUGAGAUUCAAGGGAAGUUUCGAAGUUGAAAAGAAGGAACAACACAAAAUGUUUUAGCAGUUAUAACUUUUGAUUUGAAGUUUAUAUAUGUUUUAGCUGGCUGGGAAGGAAGUGUACAUGAUUCACAGGUUUUUGAUGAUGCAUUAUCAAGACCUAAUGGUCUAAAAAUUCCAGAAGGUAUAUAAUAAAGUAUUUAUUAUAUGCAAUAAACAUAUAAAAUGUUUAAUUAGCUAAAGAUAGUAAUAAGUUUUUUUUUUCUAAUUUGUAAGGAAAUAUUAUCUGGGUGAUGCUGGUUACGAUAUUCGAAAAGGAAUCAUUUAUCUUUUUCGUGGAGUUCGAUAUCACUUGAAUGAGUUUACAGAACAUUCACCAGAAAAUGAAAAUGAGCUAUUUAAUCUUCGACACUCUUUGUUGAGAACUGCUAUUGAGCGAGGGUUUGGUAUUUUGAAGAGUCGUUUAGAUCAAUUGAUGGAAAAUCUUUUUGGUCUUAUGAAACAAAGGUAAAUGUUGUGCUUGCAUGUUGUAUUAUUCAUAAUCACAUUAUGGGAGUUGAUCCUUAUGACUUUUUUAUGGAAGAAAUAUAUUCAGAAAGUGAACCAAAUAGACGAACAAUCAACUUAAGUCAACGGAAGGAGAGGGAAGAUAAUAGGGAGUGGAUAACAAAAAGAGAAAUGAUUGCAUCAACCAUGUGGAAUGAUUAUAACACUCAAAGAAACUAGUAAUUAAGUGUUAAUUAUAUAUGUUUGUUUUUAUUAUGUCUUGCUUGAGUUUGUAUUAUCUUUGUUAUGUAUUUGGAUUAUUUGUUGACUUUAUUAUAAUUUCUUAUGUAUUUUAUGUAUUCUUUUUUAAAUAUUAAUUGUAGUUUUUAUAUUUAAUUUAUUAAAUCUAAAUAUUGUAUGAUUAUAUUUUGUAUAAAUUUGUAACUUUUUUUUUGUAGAAAUAAGUACCACACAAAAUGAAACAUGCAAGGACAAACACUUUACAUGGUCUAAGCCUAUGUCUCACAUGCUACUUGAGAUAUUAGCUGAGGAGGCACUUAAAGAAAAUAAACCUUCCUCCACCUUUAAAGUAGAAUCUUUUGUUAAGGUGACUACAUAAAUUAGUCAAAAUUUCAACAUGCAAUGCGAGUCUAAGCAUGUUGACAAUCAUCUCAAAACUGUGAAAAAAGAAUGGGGAAUAAUAACCAAACUUAAAAAUAAAAGUGGCUUUGGUUGGGAUAAUUGUUUGAAGAUGAUUAUAGUUUCAAAAGAUGUAUAUGAUGAAGAAGUGAAGGUAUGUUAAAUAUUAUACUUUUCAUAAUUUUUAUAUCUACUUUUGUUUCCAAAAUGUUAUAUAAGGAACUAAAAAACCUUUUCUUUUCAUUUUUCUUUUUAACCAAAUUCCAAUAUCAUAUGUUUAAUUUUGAUAUUUAUUUUAUGAUUUUGAAACCUAUUAGGGCCCAAUUUUUUACUGUUAUCAUAUCGAACAAAAUCUAACUUAUAUCAUUAACAAUUAACUAGAAAGCUAAAAACAAGGGUGAGAAAAAAAAACUAAAAAAAACCGAUUAAAAUUUAAAAAAAAUUGACCAUUCGGUUCGGUUAUAUGAGCUUGAAACCGAAAAAACAGAAUCCAAACAAAAAAAUCUGGAAAAAAACCGAUCCAAACUAGUUUAAACUGGUUUUGGUCCUAAAAAACCAAACCAAACCAAACCGAAACAGUUGGUUUGAACCGUAUUUGUUUCUUUCUUCUUCUUCUUCUUUUUAAUUUCAUUUCUAGUAUUUUUUUUAUUUACUUUUUAUGAGGUUAUUCUAAACUUAUACCUUAGUUGACAUUAGUUUUUUUUUUCCUCAAUUGACUUUUUUUUUUCAAUUUCACCCUUUAACGUUGAAUUUAUGAAAAAUUAUACUUCAUGAUUUAUAUCUGUUUAUUUUGUAUAAGACUAUCUCAAUAUCAUGACUCAAGUCACAUGUUUGAUAUUUUAAUUUGUGUUGACUCGAUUAAUUUUUUUAAUCAAUUUUUUAAUUUUAAUUCUAUCCUUCAAUAUUAGAUUUAGUUGUUUGUUUUGUUCACCAACCACAUUGUUGUAACCCAAUUUUGGAUUCACCAAGAUUUUCUUGAAUAUUAUUUUAUUUCUAUUAUUAUUCAUAAAAAUCCAAAAAAAAAUAAAAAAAGUUUAAAAUUCAAAAAUAUAUUUUUCUCGAGUCAACCGCAUCUUUCCGGGUCAAACCAUGUCGACCAGGGUAAAAAAUGAGUUUCGGGCUGUUUCGGAUCAAAACCGUCAUUUUCAACCAAAACCGAGUUCACCGGGUCAAACCAUGUCAACCAGGAUAAAAAAUGAGUUUCGGGCUGUUUCGGGUCCAAAACCAUCAUUUUCGACCAAAAACCGAGUUCACCGGGUCAAACCAUGUUGACCAGGUUUAAAAAUGAGUUCCGAGCUAUUUCGGGUCAAAAACAUCAUUUUCGAUCAAAACCGAGUUCACCGGGUCAAUACGGGUCAAACCAUGUCGACCGGGAUGAAAAAUGAGUUUCGGGCUAUUUUUGGGUCAAAACCAUCAUUUUUCGGUUAAAACCCGGUUUACCGGGUUGAUACCCAUCAAAUGUUUUUUUGUAUUAGCGGUUGCAACGAGGUUUUUUGUUUAAUACUGAUUUUAAUUUUUAAUUUUAUCUAUAUAAAUAUUUAUUAUUAUAUAUAAUAAUACAAAAUUAAAAUUUUCAACGGAUUAGUUGUAUUAUUGAAUUAGUAGUUGUGUUAAUAUUAUUUUUUUAUUUAAGGUAGAUGAAAGAGCAGUUGUGUUGUACCCUGCUCAGUGGAUAUAAAUAGCCACGUGAGCAGGGAAGAAGGAGGGAGAAAAACAGAAAAGAAGAGAAAGAAUUCAUACACUGUGCAUGUUUUUUUUAGUUUUUCUUCGUGAGAGUAGGAUAUUAUUUAAAAAAAAAACAAUUUGAAAAUACCAAAUAUAUCCUGACCCAUCUCAGCCAUUGAAAUAAUCCAUGAUGUAAUCUCGUUGCGCCACAUCAUCCGGUGCACCGAGAUUUCGGUGUACUGCGUCACACUGGAUAAACACCCACACAAUCCGGGCCGUCCGAUCAACCUGCAGAUCUAACCAAUCACAGCCAUUCGAUCGUUUCAUCCAAGAUCCAACGGUUAAAAGCCUCCCGCUGCACUAGAGUACCAUGGACACGUUCACACCGUAGCCAAUCUCAGAGCCUCUCUCUCCUCUCACCGGCGACUCUCUCUCUCUCCUCUCACCGGCGACUCUCUCUCUCUCUCCUCCGAUCUCCAUUUUCCGGCCGUAUCAAGCCUCCGCACCACCACAGAAAGGUAUCUACCAUGGUUUAAAGCAAAACCCCGGUGGUUUUCAUAGUUUUCGCCGCCUCAUAUGGCCGAAAAAAGGCCACGAUCUUCGUCGGCCACCGAAGCUUCAAGUCGUCGAUUCUCCCUCGUCAGCCAUCAACGGACGUCUAGACCACCACCAACACAAUCCUCGACCUCAGAUCUACCAGAAUCGACCAUCGGUUUUCCAGAAAGCUCGCCUGAAAAUCUAGCCGCCACCAACAGUAGCCGCGCGUGAGCCACACGCGCCGCCAGGGCAUUUUCGUAAAUAUCUGAUAAAUCCGAGGGUAUUUUAGUCUUUUACCUAUACUGUGUCACUUAGGUAAUUUUUUUUAGAUUUCUAACAUUUUUUUUUUAUUUUGUAUAUAAAUUUUCUUGCAUGUUGUAAAAAAAAAAACAAGGAAUAGCAACGCGGGUCCAACACCCAUCCUAUUAUGUUAUCAUUCGUGGGUCCAAAGCCCAAUUUUCAAAUAUAGUUAUACCCAUAUCUCAACGAUAUCAAAAUAUUUAUUUUUAUAAACAAAUAUUGUUUGUCGACACGUCUCUUUUUAUAGAAAAAGACCGAUGUAAAAAAAAAAAAAGUUUAAAAACCAAACAAAUAUGGAUUAUGUCCAUACUUUUGUUUUUUGGUAACUUAGAUGUAAAUCUCCUUUUUAGGGUUAAACGUCAAUAUUUUAGACAAGUGUCCUAUUUUUAGGGACUGAUGUCAUUUUUAACGUGUCUCCUAUUUUUAGGGACCGACGUUAACUAUUUUAUAAAAAUAAAAAACAAAAUUGCAAAUAAGCUCAAAAUAUAAUAGCAUUUAAAUCAAAUAAAAAACAUACAAGUAAAGGUAACCUUUCUCUUGAAAGGAUGUUUUAAGGGUAGUGUCUACCUUCCCUUAAUCAUAACUAACCCAGUACCCGAAUCUCUGGAACCAGUGUCUAAUUUGGAAUUUCUAGUUCCCUCAAAUUACUAGAUGGCGACUCCAAUAAAAUUUUCAUUUUCCCAAUAAAAAAAAAUCUUUUUGUUAAAUGAACAAAAAAAAGAGGAGUCGUCACCCGACGUCGUGUAUCGACACACAUGUUACCUUGAACUUGAUUGAUUGUCAAGUGCAUGUUUUUUAAAUUUGACAUAUUCACCAAACCUAUUUUAUUUAGGUUUAAAACAGUCUAAAACACUCCUCGUAUUACUAUAAAACAGUCUAAAACACCUAGACAACUAAUCAUCCAAAAUCAAGAGCUCACCAUUACCUAGGGUUCUAGUUUUGAACAACUUUUGAACUUAGUGGAAUGUCUAUAAUCUUAUUUAUCGAAAUGUUAUUAUAACAAUCUUGUAACAUCUUUAGGUUAAAUUUAUUUCCACACUUUGAAUCUUAAAUUGCUGCUAGACAACCUUAGAUUUGUACUGGAUCACUAAACAAGGAUAAGCCAUUGUCUGGGACAACAACUUGUUGAAACUUCUCGCCAUGAACGUCAAGUGAAUGUACAAUGAUUCCGCCAUAGAUUUUACCAUCCAAUAUAUAACUCCAUUAGCACAUAUGGCUUCCUUAAAAUCAUACCACUUCGUGUACCCAUAAAAAAAUAUAAUGCUUUUUAUUUAUUCUUAACUAUUUUUUUGUCCCCAGCGUGAAGAUUUCAAAUUGCUCUUUGUCAUGAACACAAACUUUCAUUUUAUACCCAUUAGCCAAAGAUCAAACCCGAAGGAAAGAUGGUCUUGUAUACUAAAUUGAGAUACGGUGUCCAUCAUCAACUAUGCAUAACUUUAUGAAUAUGCACAUCCCAAUCAUGACAAGUAUCUCAAUAAAAUACUUGAUAUGUACGAGGCAAUAACAAUUGUUGUUGGAAAAGAUAUGGUAACCGAAAAUUAUGUCAAAUCAUAUGAUGAUGUCAACUUGGAAGAGAACACUGAAGAAUAAUCAAUUUCAAUUGAAAAUGAAGGGGAAUAUGAAGAAACUUUAAAAGAAAAAGAGACAUCUUCCUCUAGUGCACGAAAGAGGCAACAUAGAAAGAAAAAUAACAUGUAUGAAGAUGAUAGUGUUUAAAAGUUGUCUAAAAAGAUUGGAGAUGUAGCAUUUGCAAUCCAAAACCUCAGCAAAAAUCAACUAGAUGUUAAUGAACUAUAUACAAAAGUGAUGAAAAUUGAAGGCUUUGAUAAGAUCACUCUUGGGGAUGCAUUUAAUCACUUGGUCUAACAUGAAAUGUUGGCAAAAACAUUUAUGGCAAAAAAUACUAAUUUGAGGAAAAUUUGGGUUCAGAAUUUUGUGAACCAACACUACUACAUGCUUGAUUGCUAAGAUGAUUUUACUAUGAUAAGAAAGUUUAUGUUUGUUAUUUGACAAGUAUGUUUACUUGUUUAAUUCGGUCUAGCAUGUUUAUGUUUGUUAAUUUGAACUAAUAUGUAUGAAUAUUACAUCAAAACUUAAUAUUUAUGCAUGACUAUGUUUGAUGUAAGAUAUUUAUAUUUAUUUCUUAAUGCUUAUUUAAUAUAUAUUAAAAGGAUAUUUCAAGGAUAAUUGCCUAUAUCCGUAAAAAAAAAAAAUCUUUAUCUAAAAAACCCAUCAAAAUAUUUUUGUAUUUAUUUAUCUUUUAAAAAAAUCUUCAUACCAAAAAACCCAAAUAUCUAACUCUUACUUAAUACCAUAAACUAAUUUGGCUCUUUUCAUAUGAAAAAAAACAUAUUUUAAGCUUUUAAAAUUGAAAAAAAAUAUUAAUAGAUUUUAUUUAUGAAAAAUUUCACAAGGUUAUAUCUCUAUAAUAUUUAAUAUUAUAUGACAUAUAUAGUUAUAUUUUAUAAAAUAAACUAUAAAUGAAUAUAGGAUAUAAUAAAAAAAUUCAUCAUUACACUUUUUAGAUUUUUUUUUAUUGUAAAUGAUUAAAUAUUUUUCAUAUAUUAGAUAAAUUUAAAAAAAAAAAAACUUAAUUCAUUAAUAAAUUAUUUUUCAGUUUAUUUUUUAUAACAUAACCAAAUACUAAAAAAUAUUUUCCAGUUUAUAAAAAUCACUUAAAAAAAAAAAACUUUCCUACAAAUAAAUAUAACCUAAAAAUAUAUUAGUCGCAUUAGUCGCAUGGACUUAGAGGAGUUUAAUUGGAGUGUUUGAGGACAGAGUGCUACAUGUGUGCCCCAAUUUAUCCCAAGGAAAUCACUGGAAAUCACUGGUUUUUAACUUGGGCGAAUGCACAGAGAAGUUUUACAAAUGAGCAACAACAAUUUACAAUAAUUCAUAAACACAGACAACAAGACCAUCCAUGUGGCCUUCCCUUUACAUCUUUACGUCUUCCCUUUCCUGUCAAAAGUUCAUCCUCCCAAGGAAACAAAAAAGGCAUGGCUCAAGUUCAUGAGCCAUCCGCGUGGUCGUUAUCAUUGUCGCCUUCAUAAUAUUCAUCGUCGCGUUGGAUUUGCUUGUCCUGGGUAUGCUCUGAAAUGAGAAUUCAUUAUAAAUUAGUAACAGGGAAAAACAUCUAGAUGAGAAAACAAAAAACUCAAAGGAGCAAAAAGUGCACUAGUGUAAGACACCAAUGUGCUCCACCGUGUGUGCAGCCAUCAGUGUGAGAGCACAUAAUUUUGAGUAUUCCACUUACGAUCCAUGCGCUCAUCAGGGUUUUGCUCAUCUUCAUCAAAAUCGGGAAUGUAGAAGUCAGGAGGUACCUGCAGAUAUGAUUGUCAUCGUCAACUAAUUAAUGACUUCCCAUGCACAAAUAGCUAGUUUAGUUUCCUUUAAUCCUUUUGCAAAGCACUGCAGAUUUGACUAAUUGAAUCUUUGAUUGGUUAGCUUAGCUACUUAACAAAUACUUGCAUCUAACUCACCUCUUGCAUCUGUACACUUGGAGCAUGUUGGAUGCAACGGAGAUUUUCUAGUACUUGCAUUUUGAUUGUGCUAAGAUAAGAUUUGCUAUUUAAGUUCUCCUGCUCACUCAAACAAAAAAAGAAGAAGAAAUAUUAGGAAGGCUGCAAGAAUGCAGGAUUGGCACUGACAAUUUAAACUAGGUCAGACUUUAAUAGCAAACCAGGAAUCACAGGGAGUUUCAGUGCAGUUACAUACCAUGAGUCCACCAGGACUUUUCAAUGAAUAAUCAGGGGCAAAAUAUUUAAUAUACUCAUUUUCUGGAAUCUCUGCAAGAAAAUUGGAUUGCAACAAAAUCAGGUGCUAGAAAAGAGUAAUCUGAGCUAAUGAAUUAUGAUGUAUAGUGGGAGAAGUGUUAACGAUAAAUGGCAUGGAAAGGGUAGAAGAUGAGGCCAACCAUGAUUAAUGGCAUGCAUUAACCAAAAAAUGCAAAAUUGUAUAUAAUAUGACAUUAAAAAAUAAAAGAAAGCAAACUUUCAUAACAUGAUAUCAUUAAUGACAUGCCACUUCCCAACCCCAGAAACACUACAUAACCUAAGAACUCCACAUCAACUCACCACAGAACAUCAUGUAGUUAUGUUUACAAUUUCUUCACAGAGGGUGAUAUGUGAGAAUUCAUCUUCCAUGCUCAGUUUUUCCUUUCAAUUAGAAAAAGGAAGUGAUUAUAUAAGCAUACCAUUGGGCAGUUCUGUGUCUAAAAGAACUCCUGUUUCAACGGUCCAACAAGGGACCUGCAGGGGAGUAACUUCUCGUGAGCUUUGACAUUUCAUAAGAGGAGACUACUAAUAGGGAUUGGAGCAAAUAAGAACAUACCAACAAGGGCAAGUUGAAUUUCUUCACAAACCUAACACAUUCUGCAUGCCCUGCAACAAACAUCACAAUGCACACCAAAUUAAUACAUCACCAACUGGCUUAAGACCAUUCAUGCAGCACCAACAACAGAACAAGCAAAUAACUGCUCCGUGUGAGGACAAAUGCACAAGGGAAGAAAAAGAAAUGUAACAAUUACAAUUAGAUAUGCACCAUCAAUGGAAAGAUUGAAGCAGCCCAAGCGGUCCCCAGCCAACGAAUCUGCUCCGCAUUGAAGAACUAUUGCACCUGGCUGAUAAGUUUCUACAACCUUGGAAAUGAUCUGCAUGACAGAUAAUCAAGCAAAUUAUUAUACUUCGCUACUUGUUUUUGUGUCUGUGUGUGUGGGCGGGUUGAAAUCUGAACUUACUGUUUUAAAUAGUCGAGUGAAGCUAGUGUCAUCGAUUCCAUCUUUCAGUGGAACAUUUAUAGCAUAAAAUUUUCCUUCUCUUUCUCCUAGUUCCUUCAAUAAGAACCAUAUCAGCAUUUUAUUCCAAUUUCACUUGGUACAAGACUUGUCUGGAACAAGAAUGAUAUAUAGAUAAAAGGUUCAUAGAAACCAGGGAAAAUAUUUCUGAGGUUGCUGCAUCCCUGUUUCACUAAAUAUCAGGGCAGACAAACUGAGUUUGAGGGGGGGGGAACAUAAUGUUGCAUCAUUAAAAAAAGAAGAAGAAAAAGAUUUAGAGCAACCAGCAACGCUUUGUAUGAAAACAGAAUAAGGUAACAAACACAAAAGUACAGUUGCUUGACAUUAGGAAUAUAAAAGAAUGAAAAAGCAUUAAAUAAUCACCUUAACAUCACCAGUUCCAGGAAAGAACAUAUCUCCAUACUUGUGAAAACUCACAGUCAUCACCCUGUCAAAUGAUAAACAAAAAUUUUGUAUUUCUCAUGACUUUACCAUUCCACUACCAGUCCAAAUUCAUAAUAGAAUAUAAGCUUUCACUACCUGUCAGUGAAAUAAAAGGCUUCUUCAACACCAUCACCAUGAUGAACAUCUAUAUCAAUGUACAGAACACGAGCAUGGUGUUUCAGAAGCUCCAAAAUCCCCAAAACCAGGUCAUUGAUGUAAUAAAAACCAGAUGCCCCGCACUUUUUUGUAACAAAAGCCAGAGGUUCCAUCGCUCAUCACUUGUAGCUCCUCCCCUCUUCCUUCUUACAUUAGCAUGCGCAUGACUUUCUUUGCCAUCCACAUUAUAAUUGAACUCUCUAAUUCUUCCUCCUCUGUAAUCAAACUCUGCGUUAACUACAUCUUCCUCACCACUGGGUCCAUUAGCAUUCUCGCUGAACUCAUCACUUUCCAUGACUUUGGACACCUUCACUCGAUCCUUAAACCCCCUCAAUUUUACACUCCUUUCAUCUCUUUCCAACAAUGGCGCAUCAUUCCCCUCUAAAUCAUCCUUCAACUUAUAACUAUUUGACUUAUGUACUUGAUUCUUUUCUCUUCCAGUCUUAACAGACUCCAUAGCCUUCAAAUACUCACCAAAAGAUGGUUUAAAUUCUAACUCUUUCUCAAUAACCCCACCACCACCAACCAACCGAUUAUCAGACUCGUCUUUUUGCAAUGCCUUCAACCCACGCUUGCUCUUCAAUGGAACACCAGAAAUUGGAGGUCUCCAAGAAUUCAAAGGCCCACAUGAAGAAUAUGGCUUCCAGCUACAAUUACAGGUUAAGUUCCCAUUUCUUUCAAAACCAGAUAAACCGUUUUGCCCAUUUGUCAUAAUUAUCACCUCCAUAUUAUCAAUUCACACCACACAGUCUCACAAGCCAAGCAAACCUCUAUCUUGGAGUCACUAAUUAUAUUGAUCAGCCUGUUUUAUAAUUUGAUUGGAGAUUUGGGUAAUGGGUUAAAUAUAUAAAAAUUAUUGAUUAUAACGAUAAGUUUAACGAGUUUUUUUAAUGAAAUAAUAUUAUUUUAUAUAAAAAUUAUUGAUUAAAUAAUCUUACAUGAAUUUUUAUAGGAUUAAUCUAGUCAUCAAGUUUAUCAAAUCGAAUUAAAUAAAGUAAACUGUUCAAAUAAUUCGAAAACCAUCAUGAUCCGAGAGUUAUCAUGCUAUUGAAUCAACCAAUCAGCGCAGGCGGAUUUGAGAUCUAUGAAGAAAGAUGAUGUAGACGGGUGAAGUAAUGCGUUGAACUUCCACCAUAGCCUACACAGUUGACGAAGAAGGUAAUUGGGUAAUUUGUCACCUCUUUACCUGUGUCUGGUCUGCAUGGAUACAUCUCUUUCCAAGUGUCUGUCAUGAACACUCCCAAAAACACUUAAAAAAUGUUUGUUUUUUUAGGUAACUUGUUACUCAUGGUUUUUAUUUUAAAAAAUAAAUUUUAAAAAAUAAAUUUUUGAAAAAUAUAGUUAGGAGUGGUUGUUGGAUUUAGAUAUAUAUUAGAUAAAAAUUAUAAUUGAAGUUUAUGUAUAACAAAAAAAUAUAUAUAAAAUGUUUGGUAAAAGUAUAGUUGCGGUUGCUUUUUACUUGGAAAUGCAUUAAAAUAAAUUUUUUUUAUUUUUUUUUAAAUUUUUUUUUAUAUUAGUGUAUCAAAAUGAUCUAAAAACAUUAAAAAUAUAUUAAUUUGAAUAAAAAAAAAACAUUCAAAUUUAUUUUUAAAAAAUUUUGAAACGCAAAAACAAACAGGAUUUUACGAAAUUCCGUUAAGAAAACAUAUAAAAACUAAAAUUUACUAUAUAAAAACUGUAUUUUAAAUUUAAUUUUUUAAUAAAUUAUAUAAUAUAAAAUACAAUUUAAUUUAUUAUCAAACAACUAUCUAAGUAAAAACAAAUAAAGCCUAAAGCGAAAGGAAAAACAUAAUUUGCAUCGUCUGAGAGCCUCUUUUCCCCUGUGGAGGUUUCAAUUUCAUGGCCCCUUUACGUUUUCCACUAGAAAGUGAUGGGCAAGAAGAUUCAACACGUGUACAGAGUUGGUGUACAGAUUCAACAUCUUCCACUAGAAAAGAUGUGGAAUCUUUGCUUUUCCACUCAAGAGUGUAGUGCAGGGCAAGGCAAUAUUAGAACAGGUUAUCUACGGUGACUUCCUCUGUAUCUUCGAGCUUUCCACGCAGUCACAGCUUGAUGAUGUCUCUUUCCUUUGUUACUGCGUCACGAUGUCUUUUUGGAAAUUUAUUGGUAUUUAAUUUUAAGAUAAUUAAAAUACAUAUUUGUCAAAAAAUUGAUAAAUUAAUUUUACAUACAAAAAGUCAAAAUUCUCUUUUAUUAUUUAUUUUUUAUCUUGACAAAAACAUAUAUAUUUUUAAUUAGCAACAUAGUUGUUUUAAUAAAUAAAAAACUUGGUAAUUUAAAUAAGUAUUCAAGAAUUUUUAAUUAUUUAAAUUAAAAGAGAAAUCCUGAAUGGUUGUUAUAAAUUUGUUUCGCUCUUUGUUUUUUAGUCAUUUUUUUUUUAUAUUUUGUUAUAUGCUUUGUGUUUGAUUCCACUUGUCUAGCCUUUCUUAAUAUUUGUAGAUGGAGCGCAUGCGCGGUCCUUCUGCCUGAAGAGUAUACUAGUAAGGGUUGAAUCGGUCAUUUACUAUUAUCUCACAAAUUAAUAAAGAUGAAAGCAUAGUUAUUAAGAUUUUACUUUUACAAUCUUUAUGAUUUAUGAAUAUGCUUUCUUUUUUCUUGAUUUUUAAGUUUAAAUCCUCAAAUAAACAUUUAGAAAUACUUAAUAAAUUACUUUAAAUAUAGAAAAUCAAUAUAGAAGCAUAACAAUAAAUAUAUGAAAUAUAACCAUUUAGUAGAACAAAUUAAGGGGAAAAAAAAGAUAUCAGUAAAUACCUCUGGUUAUGGAUGCCAUGAUCGUUGGAACGCACUUCAUUCCUGAACAUGGAUGCCCUUGAAUUAGGGUUUUCUUUGUAAACAAGGGUUUAGAGUAAUAAUAUAUAGUUUCAAAGCAAGAUGGACAUGGAAUACUACCAAGGGUUUUACAAAACCAUAACGUUAAAAAAAGAGUUUCCAUGAAAAAUAAAUGGAUCGUAUAUAGGAGUGCUGAUUUUGUUACAAGAGAAGCAGAAAUUAACACAUAUAGAGGAAAUCAAGAAGAAUUGAUUUGGAAAAAAAUAAAAGGGUUUAUUUUUUUGGGAAAUAUUUUUAGGAAUCCCAUGAAUCAAGUCAUGGAAAGUGUAUUUAUUUUAAUUUUUCCUUUUUAAUAAGAUUUUUUUUAUAAUCUUUUCUUUAAUUGGUAAUCAUGAAGAAUUAAUUAAAAGUUUAAUUUGUCAGCAAAAAGAUUAGCAAAGAAAUCCUAGAUAUUGAGAGUGUGUCCCGGCCAAAUCUCUUUGUGCUAAUAACUUUCUUAAUUAAACAAUGUUUGAGUCCUAAUAAAUACAGUUUUCUCAAUAAGUAAGACAAUUUCAUUUAAUAAUCCAUGGCCUUCAAUAUAUUUCUCGACAAGAAUGGAAUAGGAUUUGAACUUACAAAAUUGAAAACCAAUUUUCUACCGAUCUGAUCUAGUCUCAAAAAAAGAGAAAAAAAAAAAUAAGUGAAUACUAAAAUUCACAUUAACUAAUAAAUUGAAUUAAAUUUCAAGACACGUACACAAAAAUGUAUAUAUAAUGAAUGCUUUGCAAAAUUAGAAAAUAAAAAGAAAUUAAAGACAUGAACAUGAGGGAUUAUGAAAAUUCAUGAUAUCGUAAUAAUACGUUUAAUUUAUCAAAGCCUCGUCCUUGUAUAUUCAAUAAAUGGGACAUCCACUCAUCCAAAUGAUGAAAUAUGUAAAAUCAUCUCAAUUCAAUAAUUUAAGAUAUUAGAUGAGGUUUCAGGAUAUGAUUUAUAUUAUUCUCUAACAUAUCAUCUCAAGUGAAAAACUUUUAGACUUGAAACUUGAAUAGGCUCACAUUACCUUGUGCUUAAUUUUUAUCAAAUAAAUAGAGAUGGUGAAAUUUGAACUUGAGACCACUUAGUCAUUAAAGCUUUGAUACCGUGUUAAAAAAUAUUCUCAGCCUAAUAGCUUAGCUGUUAGGUAAUGUUUUAAGAUAUAAUUAUAUUAUUCUAUAAUACAUUCCUUCAAGUAAAAACUCUUUGGACUUAAAGCUUGCAUAAAUCUAUAUUAUUUUGUGCUUAAUUUUUAUCAAAUAAAUAAAGAUAAUGAGAUUCGAACUCAUGAUCGUUUGAUCAUCAAGGCUCUGAUACCAUAUCAAAUAACCAUCUCAGUAUAAUAAUUUAAAUUAUUAAAUAAAAUAUUAAAAUAUAAUUUAUAUUAUUUUUUAAUAAUAUAUAAAGCAGAAAAAGUCUUUUGAUAAAAGCACCAUUUCUUUAAAGAGAGUUCAAACUUGAACCUCUUCUUUAUAACUAAAAAAAAACAGUGAAAAAAAUUACUACCUAUUAAUUAUAUGAUGAUUAAUUAAUGUUAUAGCUACAAGAAGGUACGUAGACAAAGCUUAAGACCUGACUUCGCCCCAUGGUUUUCUUGAAGGGAAGUACAAGUGCCAGGCUAGCUAGCAAGCUAGUUUACAUUAUUCUGUAUCAUCGUUAUCAUUUCAAUAAAACAAAUAUAUAAAGAUAUGCCUAUUGUAAUUGUUUAUGGAAGCAAUAUGGUUAUUAUUCUUAUUUUAAUUUUUUUUGCUUUAAUAUCCAUAACCAUAUUAAUUUUAAAAAAUAUAAUUUAAUUGAUUAAAUUUUAAAUUUAUUUUUUAAAAAUUACUAAUUUAAAUUUUAUAAAUCUUAAAGUUAGUAAAGACUUAUAUUAUUGUUAAUUUUAAAAUUCAUGAAAUUAAUCGAAAUAUGUAGAAGCUGAUCCGGAAAUCUAUAUUAAUUAAAAAAAAAAGAUUAAACUUAAGCCAUAUAUUAAAAUUUUGGAUGAUGAAGGUAACAGCAGUGUCAAUAACGAGGAUGUGCUGGAAGGCCUUCAGCCUCACCCAGACAUAAGAAGCUUGACAAUUGAGGGUUAUGGAGGUGAAAAUUUCUCAUCAUGGAUAUUGCAACUCAAUAAUCUGACGGUGCUGAGAUUGAAAGGCUGCAGCAAGUUGAGGCAACUCCCAACACUUGGAUGUCUUCCACGCCUUAAGAUUCUAGAGAUGAGAGGAAUGCCUAAUGUGAAAUGUAUAGGCAAUGAGUUCUAUAGCAGCAGAGACAGCGCAGGUGUACUGUUUCCAGCACUACAAAUACUCACUCUAUCCAGGAUGGAUGGUCUUGAAGAAUGGAUG
This 44973-nucleotide long non-coding RNA is filed under the name Populus tremula. Its description in RNAcentral is "long non-coding RNA (PTRE_LNC000376)". The stretch from base 34831 to 34920 matches the Rfam family "MIR478 microRNA precursor family". Lineage: Eukaryota; Viridiplantae; Streptophyta; Magnoliopsida; Malpighiales; Salicaceae. The record is from RNAcentral.